CUAUUUCUAUUAUUCUUUUUAUGCUCUGAUACCAUAUAAUUUGUCACGCUCUGAGACCCGCCUCUUUGGUCGGAUUCGGGCAUGCCAACAAACCGCCGAACGGACAGGAUUUCCCUUGUACCGCGGACAGAGUUUUCCCUGUACGUCCAAGGCGUCGCAACAGUACAAAUCACGAGGUUCCAACUAGAAACAGAUUUUAUACAUGAUUGCAUAAGAAAGAUAUCAAAACAUAAAGCACAACUAUGCUAUUACACGCAUUCGUCUCAAUUUACAACCAAUUUACAUUUUUGACUUCCAAAUACAAUCCACAUAUUACACUUUAUUACAUUCUUUUCUUUUGUCCCUAAGUUAAGCCGACUCAGGGUACUGCUAUCUCUGGUCUCGGUGGUAGGGCGCUAUCUACGGAGCUACGCCCUUUCCUCGCGCCGCCGCGCCGCUCGCGUGUGAACCUGAAGCUCUAUGGCAGCGGAUUUCUACUCUUAAAAAAGAAUUAGCUGCAGCCGAAUCGACUCUUGUUCGUACUUCUGAGCGUCGGCUAUUCUUGCAAGACCAACUGAAUGCUAAGAAGAGUGAAGGGAUGAAGCUUCAAAAUCGGCUUUCUCAACUUUAUAAGUUGCAUCCUUUAAUGAAACGCAAGAAGAAGGCAGCCGAAGUCGCUCAAUCGAACUUAGAAGCCGAAUGGAAUCAUCAUAAGGACUUAUUAUCUUGAUUCGGCUAAUAAUUGUAAUAUUUUUAUGUUUUUAACUCUGACUUUCAUUUCCCACAUGGAUGGGUAAUAUUUCUUUAAAUAUUUUUCGUUUAUUUGCUUAUCAUGCUCAGACCCAUCUAGGCUUUUAAAUAAUAUGCAUUUUCUUUUGUGAUUCUAUUAAUUUGAAAUAGUCCUUCCCAAUUUAGAGACCAUUUUUCAUAUAUUCGAUCCUUUCGACCGAUUGGAAAUAUUAAUCUAAGAACCAAGUCUCCAACUGCGAAAGACUUAGCUUUAACUCUUUUAUUGUACGCAUUGCAGCUCUGAUAAACUUGUAAAUGGUCAACUGCUAUCAGCCGAGUUUCAUUCAUUUCAUCCACUCUUUCAUUCAUUAAAAUUUUAUAUUCGUUUGCCGUUAAUUCUUUUUGUUUUUCUACCCUCAAAGAGGGAACUGUUAUCUCGUCUGGUACUACGGCCUCAUGGCAGUAUACUAAUUAAAACGGCGACAGGUGUCGCCAUUUUUACUGAAGUUCGGCAUGCCCACAAUAUUUCGGAGAGUUUCUCAUUCUAUUUCCUUGGGUGCUUUCCAAUAUGCCGCUUCAUAAGAUUUAUCAUGAUUACCUUAUUUGCUACCUCGGUUUUUUCCAUUGGCUUGAGCAUAAUAAGGUGAUGAAUAAAGUAACUUAAUCUUUCUGGACUCAACGAACCAGGUAAAUUGUCCCCCGGUAAACAUUGUUCCUUGAUCGGUUGUAAUCGUCUCGGGAACUCCAAAACAAUGAAUUAUAAAGUCUUCAACAAAAUCAAUAAUUUCUUUUUGAGUGACCAAUCUAGCGGGUUUUACUUCUACCCACUUAGUGAAAUAGUCAACGACCACUAUCAAAAACUUAUGACUAGCCAAAGAAUUCGGCUGAAUUUCUCCAAUUAAAUCCAUAGCCCAACCUCGGAAAGGUCAAGGUUUAAUUAUUGCGUACAUCUCAGAGGCAGGGACUCUCUACACGGAGCCAUGGUAUUGACAAUCUUGGCAACCUUUAGCGUACUCUAUGUAAUCUUGAUGCAUAGUCGACCAAUAAUACCCCAAGUGUUGAAUUGUCCAUCUUAGUCUUUUCCCUGCUAAAUGGGCUCCACACAAGCCUUCGUGGGCCUCUCCCAUGACCAACAAGGCUUCUUCAGGCCCCAAACAUUUUAAUAACACUUUUUCGGCUGUUCUCUUAUAAAGUUGUUUAUUUAAUAAACAAUAGCCGAGUGCUCUUCUUUGAAUAUUAUAGUCGAGUCGCUUGUUAGAGUCUUGUAAAUAUCCAAUUAUAGACUUUCUCCGGUCUUCUUUGACCUCUAUAGGAACGAUUAUUUUCGGCUCUCGUAUAUGAACCGAUGGUAAUAGCCUUCGUACCAUUUUCACUUGAUCCUGUUUCGAUUCUUUAUACCCUGAGGCCGAUUGGGCUAAUUCAUUAGCCUGUUUAUUUCCUUCUCUGGGCAAAUACUCAAACUCAACCUUCCCAAAACUGCAAAGUAAUUAUAUCGUUUUUCUCAAAUAAUUUUACAAAUUUCGAUUUUUACAUCAGAAUUCUCCAUUCACCUACUUAAUUACCAAUUGUGAAUCACCGAUGACCUUGAGCGAAUAUACUCCUAAUUCUUAUAAAAUUUCAAUGCCAAUUAUUAAGGCCUCAUAUUCGGCUUGGUUAUUAGAAUAACCAAAAUUUAAUUCAAAAGUAAAUCGAUGAAUAUAUCCUUCAGGAGACUGUAUAACCACCCCAGCUCCUGCGGAUUCGUCUGUUUUCGAGCUGUCAAAAUAAAGUAUCCAAGGUUGACAGCCGACUAUAUUUUGUUCUGGCUCUUCAAACUCAACACAUGGAUGAUCAGCCAGAAAAUCGGCUAUUGCCUGCCCCUUAACACCUUUUGCUCGGACAUAAUUAAGAGAGAAUUCGGAUAAGGCUAACAUCCAUUGUCCGAUUCGACCUCUUAAUACAGGCUUAGAUAGCAUAUAUUUCACCAGAUCAGUUUUGCAGAUUACCGACACUUCGGUUGGUAAAAUAUAAUAUCUUAAUUUUGUACAGGUAUAGUAUAAGGCCAAACAUAAUUUUUCGAUUGCCGAAUAUCGUUUUUCGGCAUCUAACAGUCGCCUGCUUAGAUAAUAAAUGGUUUGCUCUUCUUUUUCUUCAUUUUCUUGUGCCAACAAACAAUCUGAAUUUUCUUCUGUAGCCGAUAUGUAUAACUUCAUCGGCUGUCCUUAUUUAGGAGGCAUAAGGACUGGAGGAUUCACUAAAUAUCUUUUAAUAUUUUCAAACGCUCCUUGCUGUUUCUCUGUCCAACUAAAUUCUUCCUGAUUUCUAAGUCGAAGUAAUGGAGUGAAAACACCUAUUCUACCGGCCAAGUUUGAUAUAAAUCGCCGCAAAUAAUUAAUUUUUCCUAAUAAGCUUUGUAACUCCUUACUUUUUGGUGGCGGCAAAUUUAAUAUAGCUUUGGCUUUGUUUUUAUCAAUUUCAAUCCCUUUUUUAUGUACUAAAAAUCUCAGAAAAUUUUUCGCUGAAACUCUGAAAGCACAUUUCAAAGGGUUCAUUUUCAAAUUAUGUAAUAUUUCGGAUUUUUAAUAUAAAAGUAAAGUGUAAAUAAAAAUAGUGUAAGAUAUUAUUUUUAUUGGACAUAGAGAAGUAAAAUAUAAGUCGGAAAUGACUUGUGCUGAAAAUGGAACGGAAAUAGAAGAUUUAGAAUUUUCUGUAAGAAACGGGGCUGAUUUUUAGCAGAAAAUUCACAGUAUCAGAAAAUAAUAAAAAUUGGAGAAUAUGUCGGAAUUAUUUUUAUGAGGCGAGAUUUAAAGUUCAUAUCAUUCCGACACCCGAAAAGUAAAAAAUAAAAUCUGACUGCUAUCUGCUAGAGAUUCGGGUCGGUAGAACUUUCGGUGACCAAAAAAUGGUCCAAACUGAAAAGUUUAGAUAUUAUUUUUUCUUAUUAAUUUUAAUCUAGUCUGAUUGUCAAAUUUGAGAGCAAACGGAUAUUCAUAAGGGUUUCGGCGAGAAGUAUCAGAUUCUGAACUGCUAAACUGAAAUUUGUGAAGUGCAAUUUCGAUUUUUGUGGGGGAUUAUGUGUAAUUGGCUGAUCUUAUCUACAGGCUAGCACACCCCCAGCAGUUUCCAUACUUAUUCCACCUUCUCUUUUCUCCUUUCCUUUUGUUUCUUUCUCCCUCCCUCUCUCUAACCUAUGGUGUUGGACCUUGUGAAGUAGGGUUGGUGGGAGUUGAUGUGGUAGGCUGUGAGGAAGCCUUUUGAGCAGAGAAACCAGCUAGGAAAGUCUCCAACCUGAGGUAAGGUUGAUGAAUUUCUUGUUUAGGGUUGUGUUGGUUGCUCAAAAGAAGGUUUGAGCUAUAGGUCUUGGUUGUAGUACUUCUAGUUGCUAUGAAAAACUUGGAAAUAGUAUUAUGGACAUCAUGUAUACAUUUGGGCCGUUACUUGGUUAGGGUUUAUUGUGUUUAAUCUAAUGAAAAUUGAACUUUGGAUUCCUUGCUGGUUAGAGUAUAUAGCUGCCAUGAAAUCUAAAGAAAGAAUCUAGCUUAGAAUUUGGCACUCUAGAGCUCAUGUUAUUAUGAAAACUUGGUGAAAAGGAUGCUACAGGCAGCAUAUGUGAAGCAAUAUACUUGAAGUAGGUUUGCUAAUUCUUGGUUAAGGUUAUGACGUUUACUCUAUAAAAGGGUAAAGCUAUGGAAUUCUAAGUUGCUAACACUUGUUUUGCCAUGAAAACUUAUAGAGUUUAGUUGUGAGUUGCUUGGUUUCUAAAGCUGAAAUUGUCAUGGAAAGUCUAGAAGUUAUGUUGUGUUAACAAUAUACAAGUAAACUUGGGUUAAAUGUAGAAGUUGUAGGAACAUGAAUACAAUAUGAGUUUGAUCUCUUAUAUUUCUAAAUGAAGGAAAAACUGACGCGUUGGGAAGCUUGAAUCAGCGUUCCGACGAGCCUACGGCAUGCUAGUGAGGAAAAACCUCAUUUUAGCUUCGGUUGUCGCGAGCGAGGGUCGUGGUCGUUCAUAAAUUGCGGAAAGUGAUUUUCUGGCAUCCUGGCAUUAGUUAAAGGUGGGUUGCAUGUGCUUCGUCGAAGUGAUUAGCUAUCACGCCCAGGGACCAAUCCCUUUGGCCGGUCCGGGCAUGUCGAACAGACGCCGAAUGGACAGAGCUUUCCCUGUCCGCCCAAGGCUCAACACAUGUACAAUUCAAGCAAAGAGAAUGCUCAAGCGGAAACAUACAAAAUGACUUACACGAGGGUAAGCAAUAGCCAAAGUGAAAGAAUUCUAAACUAUACAACCAUACAAGUAGAAUGAUUAACUUUUAACCAUUUACAAGCAUACAAUAUUUUUCUCCAUUACAUUUCUUUUCAUUAUUUUCUUUUACAUCACAUUUCUUCAAAAUAGAAUGCUUACAUUCAUUUCUUUAACAUCUCUAAUCAUCAAAUACAAAAGAUGAUGUAAAUGUAUACUACCAGCAAAAUAUGAAACCCAACUUGGCGGUCACUAUCUACGGCGCGAUGUCUUUACCGGGAUCGUCCGCUGGCUCACUCGGUCCCAGCUCUGUGGAAAUAGUGGAGUGAGAACUACAACGAAGUUCCCAGUCGGUUCGGCCCCAACCUCGCCGACUUUUCCACUAGGUCUAACUCAGGCAUAAUAGAAAGAAGUAGAUAGAUAAGUAACCAACUAUAACAUGCAACUAAUAUGCCUGAACAAAUGCGAUCAAUAAAGAUGCUCAACAAUAAUACUCAUGAUGAAAGCAUGGUCCUGGUUCAAUUCUCAAUCUCAAUCUCAUGGCUAACCCGGAGGUUUCGCCUCAAAGCAACUUACCACUCGAAAUCCCAAAUGUCGGGGAGAAACUCCUACGACCUGACGGGACCGUCCUCUGGGGAGAAACUACUAUGACCCAGUGAUGUCGAACUCCGGAGCACAUCGCUCGUGGGGGAGCUACCGCCCAUCGAGCAAGAGCUAAGGCGAGUAUGAUCCAAUCCUUAACUCAAAGGAUGUCAAGUUCAAUCCAUUCCUUAACUAUAAGGAAACCAUACACAAAUGACCCUUAACUAUAAGGUUAUAUGUCAUUAUGUCUCGAUCUCAUGUUCUUUGCCUUCUUUGUUUUCGAUCAUGCUAUUACACUAACUCUAGUGUUCUUUAUGCCACACUUGAUGCUAACUCUAGCAUUUAUUGUUCUUUGCCACACUUGACUAGGUGUAUAACUCUAGUACUCAAUAUCACAAUGCCACAUUAUCCUCUAUGUCAUAAUGCCACUUGUUCUUUAACUUUGCUAAGUUCUUGUCACCAUACAUGCACAUAUAGGGUUAUACAGUUCUUAUUGGUUCUCAACCAUAUCAAAUGCAUCUUAACUAUAAGCAUGCAACAUACACUCUCAUUUCACCCUAUUAUGCACGAAAAGCUAUAAACAUAAAUGCUCAAUAAGUGACACAUUAGACAUAAAGGAAAUUUCAAAGAGUUUGGAAAGCACCACCCACCUCGUAGGCUUGCUAAGGUGCUCGGAUUCGAAUUUCACGAUUUUUAGCCGCCUAUUUCCUUGCCUGCGGCAAAACGAAGCCAAAUUAGGCUUUUUCGCUCAUAACUUCACAUAGACUUUUCGUAUCAACAAACCGAGCGCACCAACGGGUCGUAAACACCCCCAAUUAGGUUUCUAUAAGGUCAAUUUGCCUUUAGAACCAUUCAAUGCAAAAGCCCCAAUUUGGGUGCCCUAGCAAUAGCAUAUAUACAAAACCCUUGUUUUGAUCUCUACCAUAGGCAAAAGAAAGCUUAUUAACACCUAGAGAUCCUACUAAAAUCAUUUCUAGGUCAUUUGGCUCUCAUUCUAGGGUUUUACCAUUAAAGGGUUCAAAGCUUACCUCAAAGCUUUCCUUGUUCUCGCACCUAGGAAGAAGAAGAAGGAGAAACUCCACCCUUUUGUCUUCUUCUCCACCAAAUCCACCUCUUGCUCCACCUCCAAGAGAGAGAGAGAGAGAGAGGAUAUCCUAGAGAGAGAGAGCUCUGAGUGUGUGAGAGGGAGAGAAAUGAGAGAAAAGAGCUCUCACACCCCUAUACAUAACCCACUUGAUGCAUAAUUGCAUUUGGGCCCCUCAACUUUGCAUCCUGUGCACUACUCAUCCUGGGCAGUUUUCGCAUACGGGGACCGGUCCUCCCCUGAGGAACCGACCUUCAGGGACCGGACCUCUCUCAAGGGACCGGUUCCCGAGAGCACUCCUUUCUGUCUACGCGCACGGGGACCGGUCUCUCCCGCCAGGGACCGGUCCCCGAGAGCUAGCCUUCCAAUACUUAGCCAUUUCACAAUUUUCACACCUACGGGGACCGGUCUGUCCCACCAGGGAUCGGUCCCCGAGAGCUAGGCUGCGCGCAGAGUAUUCUGCCCAGCCCAAUACGCGUACGGGGACCGGUCUCUCCCACCAGGGAUCGGUCCCCGAGAGCUCAAAAGCUGCAACUUGCAGAUUUUCUAUUCUCUAGCUCUCGAAGAUCCCCUAUAAUGCACUUUUGCUCUUUUUAACGCCUUCGGCCUUACCGAAGCGUACCAAUCUCGUAUUUGGUCAUUUGACUAAAGUUCGAUAUUUAUAUAUCGAAAUUUCGGUAUAUUACAUUAGCUCACUUCCAAGCCAAAGUAAAGUGUUAUUGUUAUUUAUGCAUAUAUAUAUAGUGGUAGGUUAUGAAUGAUAAUAUGAAUGCAUGAAUCAUAUUAUGCUAAGUGGAUAUUACCUACCAUUGGAAUAUGUAUGUUGAUAUAUUGUGGAUUAUGUUAGAUAAAUAUGCAUGUUGACAUAUUGUAGCAUAUGCUAGAUUUAUGUAAAUGUAAACUUGGGUCGAUAACUCUAGGUUGCUUAGAGAAUUCGACAUUGGAAAGCAAGAAUAUGUAAAUUACAAUCCUAGGUGUGAACAACUAGGAUGACGGGUAGAUUGAAAGUGUUAUUAAAUAUAGGUUGGACAUGAACCUAGUGUCAUUGAACAUAGAUGGAACAAGUGAACCUAGAAUCGAGAUCUAGGUGGAAAUGACAUAGAACCUAGCGUGGUUGAACCUAGGUUAUGAUAUGUACUGACACUUAGUGUGCUUGAACCUAAGUUGUGGAUUAUAGUGGUAGAGGGACCACUAGGAUGUAAAUGGUUUAGACCUAGAAAGGACGACAACAUAGGGUAAGUGCUAAAACCUUAAGCCUUGGAAGUGGAUUUCAGAAUCCCUAGGACAAGUGGCUGCAAGUGCAGUGGUCGAAUGCAAGCGAAUCAGAACUGCGGGUAUUUUGGUUCUCCUUGCCCGACAGUGAUUCAACCGGUAUGUUGAUUUUCCUCGCCUGGCAAGUGAAAUGGUAAAAGAGAAUCAUAACUGCGGGUAUGUUGGUUCUCCUCGCCCGACAGUGAUUCAACGAGUAUGUUGGUUCUCCUCGCCCGGUAUGCCAUAAGCUUGAGCUUGAGCUACUUGUGGUCCGGGGUUUGACGGUUUUCCUUACCCCGCGGUAGACCUAUAGUCGAGUGGAUUUAGGGCUGAGGUGCUUGUGAGACGUCCUUCACCUCAAGCCCGAUUUUAUACGGUAUUCCACGGAUGAUUAACUCGAGGCCGAGUCGGGUGGAUAGCUUGAUUAAGGUAGAUGAAACCUUAAGAGCAAGUGGUAAAUGGUAUGGAUCUAAGGUAGAAGGAACCUUAGAAGCUAGUGGAUAUAAGAAGUGGAUAGUGAGAUAGAAAGUAGAAUCAGGAGAUCUACUUAUGUAUUGUUGCAUAAUUUGCAUAUUGCAUGUCUUGAGGCAUACGCAUGUAUUUAAUAUUUGCAUAAAUUAUCUGUAGAUAUCUAUUGGACUAACAUAGUUGCAGUGCCUCCUUUAGACCUGGUGGGUCGAGUUUUUUCCUUGGGUCGCCGUACCCAUUGGGAACUAUGGACAUAGUUCCCACCCCACGUUAUUUUGGGGGAUUUCAAGUUCGCACGCAAGCGGCGCGGCAGUGCGAGGAAAGAGCGUAGCUCCGUAGAUAGCGCCCUACCACCGAGACCAGAGGUAGCAGUACCCUAAGUCGGCUUAGCUAGGGGUAUAGAAAAGAAUGGAACAAACUUGUAGUAAAUUUGUAGUAACUGAUUGUAUUUGGAAGUUGAAUGUAGAAUUUAAAGGUAAAGUGUAAAAUGCAUGUGAGCUGAAUGCUUGUAAUAGUUUAGCAUUUAUGUUUUUCUGAUAUCUUCCUUAUGCAAUCUGUGCUUAAAUACUGUUCCUGAUUGGAACCUCGUGUAUUGUAUGGAUUGUGACGCCUAGGACGUACAGGGGAGACUCUAUACGUUCGGUGGUCUAUUGGCGUGCCCGAAUCCGACUAAAUAGGUAGAGCUCGGGGGGUGACAUUAUAUUUUCUCAUUCUCUCAAAGGCAAGCUUUAAAUUUGACCAGUGAUCCACCUGUGAUUUGGAUUUUAUGACAAUGUCGUCGAUAUAAACUUUUAACAUCUUGCCGAUCAAAUCGUGAAAAAUAAAAUUCAUUGCUCUCUGGUAAGUAGCUUCGGCAUUCUUUAAGCCGAACGGCAUUACUACCCAUUCAAAGGUCCCGAUAGACCCUGGGCAUCUAAAAGCCGGUUUAGCUACAUCUUCCUCAGCAAUAUAAAUUUGGUUAUAACCGGCAUGUCCGUCCAUAAAAGAUUGUAUCUCAUGCCCAGCUGCCGAAUCUACCAACAUAUCGGCUAUUGGCAUUGGAUAUUCAUCUUUAGGCGUAGCUAAAUUCAAGUUUCUAAAAUCAAUGCAAACCCUAAAUUUAUCAUUCUUUUUUCAUACUAUAACUAUAUUGGACACCUAAUCAACAUAACAGGCCGCUCUAAUAAAACCGGCCUUUAACAAAUUUUCAAUUUCAUUCUUAAUUUGAAGUACAAUACUUGGCUCAAAUCUACGAGCCGGUUGUUUGUAAGGCUUAUAUCCUUUUUUAAUAGGAAGCCUAUGUUCUACUAUUUCUCGACUCAAACCUGGCAUUUCUUCAUAACUCCAGGCGAAGCGGUCCAUGUAUUCUGCUAGCAAUUCUUUCAGCUUUUCCUAUUGUUGAGCCGAAAGCUUAGCACUGAUGUAGGUCGGCCGCUUGUCCUCGUUGGAUCCCAAGUUUACCUCUAUUAAUGGAUCUUGGGUCUCUAGCUUCUUGUCGCCGACUUUGAUAGGUGAUUCAUCCAUAUUUAGUUCAGCUGUCCACCUCCUCAGUUCACCAGCUGCUUCCUUAUCGGCCUUAACGUCCGAUUUCAUUAACAAGUCAUUCUCGGCUGACUCGGCCGCCUUGAUAAGUGCAAUCUUAUCGGCCUGACUGGCCGAAUUACUCCUAUAGCCGUCUUCAUCGGUCGGUUCAUUCUAUCGAAGCUUCUCUAAAGCUUCGGUUCCUGAUCCUUGGUGUUCCAUUUUAACCAACUUGGUGGCUCUUCGGCUGCCACCAUAGCUUCCUUAUCUUUUAUGAGAAUUAAUUGUACUCCCCCUUCGGUUACUCAUACAAAAGAAAUCUAAUCGGGAUCAGUAUCGGCCCAAUUGAUAUGGCUGAUUCCUUCUGUAUUAAUGUCCACCAUUUGGGGCCGUCCCUCGGCCCGAAUUUCUUCCACUUUGUUUCCUACCCACUGGAAUAGCUUCCCAUGGAGUGUUAAGGGUACACACUCAUUUGCAUGGAUCCAGUCAUGCCCGAGUAGUAAAUUGUAGUGACUAUCUGCAUCCACUACAAAAAAUACUGUUCGUAAAGUUUUAGAUCCUACCGUGAUCUCGGUUGUGAGCACUCCCUUAACUUGUUGACCGCUACCAGUAAAGUCGGUCAUGAUCGUAUCGGUAGGCUUUAAUUCGUCUUCACUCUUGCCCAGUUUUUUGAAUAAAGAACUGGGCAAGACGUUUACCAUCGCUCCGCCAUCCACCAUCACUCAGCCUACUAGCCGUCCUUCUAUUAAGGCCCGUAUGAAUAGAGGCCUCACAAAUCUUAUUUGCAUGAUCGAUGGUUUUUUGAAAACCAUCAAAUCGACUGGUUUGGCAUCCUCCAACUGCAGUUGGGCUACUGUGAGCCCAUCUUCUUCAUACUCCAUUUCCUCGUACUCUGUAUACUCUGCUUUGAACGAUUGAGGAAGAGUGUAUACCAUGUUCACAUCGGCUGAACUUUCAUCAGCUGAUUUUUUUUGUAUCUUCUGUUUCUUCUCUUCGGACUCCUUUGCCGGAUCGGCUGAAGAGUCACUUUCCAUUCACGCCUCUCUUUCCUUUGGAGGCCAUCUGUCGCGCUUAAUUAUUAUCUCAAUAGAGGCUAUCUUCUCCUCUAACUCUUUUCGAGUUAACUUCUCCUCAGGUUUGGCCGGGAUUGGACGUUCUAUCUUCGAUUUUAACCAAGAAACGGGUGACGAACCGCCCACUUCAUGAUCAUUCCGCAUCGGUCGAAAGGGAUUUUAUGGUUCAUUAGGUCAUCUCCAUACGUUCAAUCUUAUCCCUUUUGCUUCUUCAUAAUGUUGUCUUGCUUCGGCUUGCAACCUUUGCUGCCGACGCUUCUGAGUUUUUGUUAACAUCGGCCCUUGCCAUUUGGCCGAUGGUUUUACUUCGUGACAUUGAUCAAUCGACACAUUUGCUGGUAUCUUUACUAUCCUGAGAUGAUUUCUCAAGAUCUCUCUUCUUUCCCAUGGUCUCGGCCAAGGUUGUAUGCCGAGUUCAUUGACUAAUCUCCAACCGAUGAAUUCUAUAUCCCCCUCGGUCAUCCCCUCAAAUUGCGGUUCAGGUCUCGGCCUGGCUUGAUGUUGCCAGUUUGGCCGAUAUCCUCGAAAUCUUUGUUUUGAGCCGAAUGGUUUCUCUGUAUAACUCCAUCGGCUGUUGCGUUCUUCUCUUCUACUGUUGUAGUAAUCAUUCAAGACUUUUUGCAUUAAUAAGUCUUUUUUGUUUUUCACCGAGUCAACUUCUGGCUCGGAUUCGUUGGAGGCUUCAUCCGAGCCAUCCUCUGACUUGUCUUCUGCCUCGGGAAUUUCCUCCUAUUCCUCCGGGAACGCCAUGAAUUCUCUCCAUUCAUUGUGCGUCCUUUUCUCAUGGAUGAUCGCUUCCCAAUCCUUUCUGGUCAUUUUGGCUUUGCACCUUAUGCAAAGCCGAAGCGUUCUCUUAGUAUAGGCAAUGCUUCCAUCAGUCUUCUUAUCCGCGAUUGCCUUUCCUUUGAUGUCCACCAUAUUGACCUGCGAUGGAAACGGAUUCUUGUCAAUCUCCAUACUUUUAUUUUCUUGGUUGGCAAAUAUGAGCCGACCUUCAUUUAUUUCUUUUUGUAUCUGCCUUUUAAAGGCAGUGCAUUCAUUUAUUCUAUGGCUCCAUGAAUGGUGCCAUUUUCAGUAUCUUCUCAUUUUCAAUUCCUCUCCAGGAGGUAUAGUUUGACCCUCCUGCAGCUGAAUUCACCGAUCUUUUAGCAACCGAUCGAAAAUUAAAUCGGUUUUAGAAGCAUCAAAUGAAUAAGUGUAUGCUGAUAUUCGUGCUUUUGCCUCGCUUGAUUUGGCAGGCUUUAACAGAGCACAUUUAUAUGGCUGACGAUUUUUCAUCAUCUCUGCCACAUAUUUUGGCUUCAUCAGCCGAAUCCUCUGUUUCUUCUGAUGUAUUCGACUCCUCUUGAGCCGAAGAUUCUUCAAGGAAAGAGAUAUUCUUCUCUUUUCCUUUACUCCAAUCUUUGUUUCGGCUCCAUUUGGGCCGAUCUUCAUUAUUUUCUUUUUGAAAUUGCUCAUACUGAGCAAUUCGAAUUCCCAAAUCAGAAAGAUUUGAAAAAUAUUUGUCUUCAAAAUGAUCUUUAAUUUUGAAUUGUAAGCCAUUAAAUGCCAUCUUGGCAAACUCUGAUUCCGGCAUUCUUACAAAACAACGGCUCCUUGCCGUCUUGAAUCGGUUCAAGUACUCUUCAACCGAUUCUUCUACUUUUUGCUUAAACUAAGCUACAUCAGCAACCGAAAGUUCUGGUUCUGAUCUAUAAAAUUAUUCAUGAAAUUUUCUUUCUGAUUAGUCCCAAUCUCGGACAGAAUUAGCUGGUAAACUCGUAUACCAAGUGAAAGCUGUCUUGGUUAACGAGGUAUUAAAUAAUCUAAGUUUUAAGAAUGGAUCUGCAGCAGCUUCUAGGCAUUGUGCCGUAAACCGCGCAACAUGUUCGACCGUAUUUUCGGUCUCAUCACCAGAAAAUUUAUCAAAUUUCGGCAUUUUCUAAUUUGCCGGAUAGGGAUGUCCUGUAUCUAUAUUUGCAGGAUAAGGAGAUCUAAACACAGGCCGCAUUGCCGGCCUUGCGCCAACUCUGAAAGUAUUUCGGAUGACUUCUUCAAUCUGAGUGUAUAUUUCAUUGUUGUUCCUCUGUAAAGGAACUAGUACCUAUGCUUGUACUGGAUUCGGUCCUAGUGGUAGUCCGAAGUUCUGCACAAUAAGGUUAACCCCUUGUAUAUUCGGAGCCUACCCCCCAGCCCUAGCCCCUACGUUUUGGGGCUGAUAUGCUGCUACUGGUGGAGGAGAUGGUAAUCCCCAGGCUAUUUCUGGUUAUUGACCGACGUUAACAAUAGCCGGCCUAUAGACCGCUUGGAAAGGUGCCCCCUGGUGUUGGGGUUGACCGCCUGCCGGUGUUACCGGAUUUUGUAACACCGGUGUAACUACAGGCCCUUGCAAACCUGUUACAGGUUGUUCAUUACGAGUCAAUAAUUGCCCUAUUCGGGCAAUAUUCUCAUUAGAGGCCAUGAUUGCGGCCAGUACUGCAUCUAAACGUGCAGUACUUCUAUGACUAUUUUGGUCCAGUACUUGUAGGACCCGUGUCAUUUGUCCAAGUACUUGAGCCAAACUAGACUCUUGUUGGUCAGAUUGACCACUAGUCUCACAUUCAACUAGCAAGACUGCUUGGCGUUCGCGAGCAUUAUCUGAAUUACUAGGUUGAACGCUCCCAGAAUUUCUAGGAACAACCCUAUUGCGCUAAUUAAUGGCAUUAUCAUUAGCCAUAAUUUCAAUAAGAAUGUAGAUUUACCUAAACUGAGGUCCCACCGUGUCACGCCCCGGGACCGGCGAAGGCCCUCCCGGUAGCGCGCCCAGACCCGCCAUAUGUCUACACAUAUAAGGCAUCUACAACAAAAGCGGAAGUAAAGCAAGAAGUAGAACAAUUAGCAUAGCGAUAGGUAAUGAUACCAGAGCGAGUAAAGUUCUAUCAUCUAAAUCAGAGUAAAAGAAACAUAACUAAACAAUAAAAGUCGCCAUAAGGUAGUACAGUACUAUCUCCUCAAAAAGAAAAACAAGAUCCAAAAGAAGGGUGGUCUCUAUACAUAAACGGGUACAACUCACAACCUCUCACAAAAUAAAACCACGAGAGGUAGACCACCUAUCAAAUCGUCCUCGAAGGAAGCUAGCUCGAAGCAACUCCCUUCCCGCGGUCCCUAGCCUCUCCCGGCGUGGAAGGCUCUGAAAGAAAACAUAAAACAGAGGGCAUGAGAACUAUAAUUUAUAGUUCCCAGUGGGCAAUUACUGACCUCAGCUCAUUGCACCACUAGGCCCAAAAGAGAAGGGUAAGUCAAAAGCAAUAACGAGUAAUUUGCAUCUAUGAAAGCAUAAUGAAAAUGCUAAAAUAUUACUUGCAAUUAAACAUGGCAUUCAUGUAAUGCACAAUGAUCUUGUCAUAAAGAAUAUGUCUCUACUUAGCCAUAAAUAAUAUCAUGGUUUGCUUAAAUGAAAUUAUGAGGAUUAUCCCUUAUCAUAGCAACAUUGUUUAUAUGAAUGCAAUUAAACACUGCCUCCUAGCAUACUACAUAUAUGUAUGUAUACCCAAAGUCCAAACCUAUGCUAGAAGCAAGUCCGAGUAAUCCAACUACCACUCUCUAUUUAGUAGUGAUUAUAACAAACUCAUCCCGUGUCGAUUUCCAUUUCCAAUUAGGGACCUACCAAGGGUAGUCCAGCUUGCGCCGCCUAAGUGCCUGUGGUAGCCCAACAUCCCUACUCUUGGAAUGUGUCUGUCCCACUCGACCCGUAGAUUCCACUACCGCACGAGCGACAUAAGUCGCGUAUGGCUAAUCCGGAGUCCGCUUGUAGGACGACCCUCACAAGCAUUUGGCGAUGAGCACAAAUGGCAAACAAGCAGGUCACUGUCUCAAAUCUCUAUCACAUGCUCUACAUGGGAGUGCACAGGACAUCCACAAGGCAUCUAGCCAUGUCUCUAAGUGAGUGUCCCAACGCUCACUGCUUAGUGCUCUUUAUGACACUUAAGUCAUCACAACAGAACUCGAGGCCAAAUCUAUUCUAUGUUUCAAUUUAAACAUUAAUACCCAAUGUUACCAUGACCGGUGGCCCAAGCCUCCUAAUGCCAUGUCGCCAAUUCUAAAUAUCUAACGUCUCCAUCCUCUCUCUAGCUUUAACCUUCAAUGUCACAAUUGGCCUAUAGGUUAAAAAAAAUGCAUGAAAACAACAGAUCAUUCCAUCAGAAAAAUCAUGUGUCCCAAUCAUAACGAUAGAAUGCUAAGUCUCACCAUGCAUGCACUCUACCAAUAGGGGUCUAAAAUUUCACUUUACAAUAUAUGACAUGUUAAGCAUUCCAAAAUUCAUAUUAAAUACAUUAACAUGAAAUCAUUGGAAUUUCUACUUUACGGAAACAUUUUGCCAAAUAUGAGCAUUUCUCAUAUCAUAGUUAGGUCAAAAACCCACCGGAGAAACCGUCGCGUGCUUCCUUCGAUUCGCCGAAUGGAGUUGUCCACGAGGCCUCAAAGAUACCUAAAAGUGAUCAGCGAAAGAAGAUACACAAGCAUUACGAGCAACGUCUAGGCUCGAACACAUAACAAUCACAAGAAUAUGGCAAAAAACUCCACUUAGGGAGUAGAAAUUUCUCACUCAAGCUCCAAAAGAAGCUAGAUCCUUCCAAUCUAACCCAAAGGAGGGUUUCUAAUCCAAAAAAUCUAGCCUCAAAAGCCUAGAUCAAAAAGCCCCAAAAUUCAACUAAAUCUCAUUUCUAGGGUUUCAUCUCCCAAAAAAUCACCAAAACAGGAAUCUAUUUAGGAAAACUCUUACUAACCCUUUGGAAGCUUCAAUCCAACUCAAAAAUGCCUAGGUCGAAGUUGCACCACUAAACUCCAAAGGCAAGCUCCAUCCAACCAAAAGGGAGAAGAAAGGUGAGAUGAAAAGCUCCAAGUCCUCUACAAGCUCUUCUUCUCCUUCUUCCUUCUUCCACUCUCUCUUCUACUCUUAGAAGCAAAAGAAAUGGUGAAGUGAGGAAGGGAAGAAGGGGAGAUGUGGCCAUAUAAGCCUUCUCUUGUAACAAAAUCAUGUGAGCCCUCAAAAAUUCAAUAUUGCAUUAGCCGGUCUGGCAUUUUUCGCCCAGAGGACCGGCUUCCCCAGCAGACCGGUCUCUCGCUUCGAACCUGAGAACAACGUUCGGGAACCGUCUCUCCCUCGUGGGACGGUCUCUCUCUGCGGGAAGCGCGCUCGGGACGGUCUCGCCGCCAGGAAACCGUUGCCUCAGCUGCCGCAACACUGCUCAUCGUGGGGGACCGGUCUCUCCUUCCAGGGACCGGUUCCCGAGAGUAAAAACUCUCAGGACUUAUCCAGGAAUUCCAGUUUUUCGAACUUUUAGGCGAAAAACAUUCUACACCUCACCAAGUGUGGAAAAGCUCGAAAUACAUCAAACACUCGAACCUCGCAAUUUGCAAAGGUCCAGUUGCUACAUUCACCCCUGCCUAAAAGGUAGUUCGUCCGCGAACUCGAAAUACAAAACCUCAAGCCUCCAUCUGAAAAGAUGGGAUAGCGCUCCCGCAGCGCGCUUUCCAGCUCCCAAGUGGCCUCGCGCUCGUCGUGGUUGCUCCAAAGCACCUUCAAGUAAGGAAUUUCUCGGUUCCGCAAUCUUUUCACCUCGCGAGCCAAAAUCCUCAAGGGUUGCUCUUCAAAGCUCAAAUCAUCCCUCAGCUCCAUAGGCGUAGCAUCCAACACGUGAGCCGGGUCGUGGAUGUACUUCCGAAGGACCGAUACAUGAAACACAUUGUGUACACCCAAUAGGUUUGGCGGUAGAGCGAGUCGAUACGCUACCGGGCCUACACGCUCCAAAACCUCAAACAGUCCAAUGAAUCGGGGGCUCAACUUACCCCGGAUUCCAAAUCGUCUAAUCCCUCGAGUCGGCGAGACCUUCAAAAAGACAUGAUCUCCAAUCUGAAAUUCCAAGUCUCGUCGACGCCGAUCAGCAUAACUUUUCUGCCUACUCUGGGCCGUCAAUAGUCGCUCUCGAGCAAUGCGAACCUUGUCCUCUGCUUCCUGGAGCACAUCAGGGCCUAAAGCCAAUCUCUCGCCAACUUCACCCCAAUGGAGUGGCGAUCUACAUUUCCGUCCAUAGAGUGCCUCGAACGGUGCCAUCUUGAUGCUUGCUUGAUAACUGUUGUUAUAAGCAAACUCUGCCAUCGGUAGAUGCUGCGUCCAUCCUCCUUGGAAGUCAAUCACGCAAGCUCGAAGCAUGUCCUCGAGAAUCUGUAUAGUACGCUCCGACUGCCCGUCACUCUGGGGGUGGAAAGUAGUGCUGAAAUCCAAGCGCGUACCCAAAGCAUCCUGUAAGCUCUUCCAAAAGUGAGAUACAAAACGGGGGUCUCGAUCUAAAACGAUAGAAGUAGGUACCCCGUGCAAUCGCACAAUCUCGUCCAAAUAAACCUGUGCGAGUCUCUCACCAGUCCAAAUAGUGUGGAUAGGUAUGAAAUGUGCCGAUUUCGUCAAUCUAUCCACGAUCACCCAAAUAGCAUCAUGCCCGGCCUGUGAGUGAGGCAAUCCCAUCACGAAGUCAAUAGUGAUCUUUUCCCACUUCCACACUGGAAUCGGUAGGCUCUGCAGCUUUCCCGCAGGAACUCGGUGCUCAGCCUUCACCCGUUGGCAGGUUAAACAUCUAGCAACGAACUCACCAACAUCCUUUUUCAUCCCGGGCCACCAAUAAAGUAACUUCAAGUCCUUAUACAUCUUGGUGCCUCCCGGAUGUACAGCAUACGGUGCUCGGUGUGCUUCUUGAAGAAUAUCCUCUUUAAUGCCCAAAUCCGCCGGUACACAAAGUCGUCCGCGGAAACGCAUCAAUCCAUCACCGUCUAGAGUGAAGUCACCGGUGCAACCAUCAACCAUCUUAGCUCGAAUCUUUUGCAACUCCGAGUCGGAAGCUUGCUUUUCUUUAAUCCUUUCCAAAAGUGUAGGUUGCACCACUAAAGUCAUCAGUCUCAAAGGUGUAUCAGGAGCCACCACCUCCAACUCCAACCGCUUCAUCUGCUCGAUCAACGGCGGUUGAGUAACCACAAGCAUCGCUAAGUUCUCAGUCGAUUUCCUACUUAGCGCAUCCGCCACCACGUUAGCCUUGCCCGGGUGGUAAAGUAUCGUCAAAUCAUAAUCCUUGAAUAGCUCCAACCAUCUGCGCUGCCUCAAGUUCAACUCCUUCUGAGUGAAUAGAUACUUUAAGCUUUUGUGAUCCGUAUAUACUUCGCAUCGCUCGGCAUAGAGGUAAUGGCGCCAUAGCUUCAAUGCAAAGAUCACGGCAGCCAACUCCAAGUCAUGGGUAGGAUAGUUCCUCUCAUAAUCCUUCAACUGGCAAGAUGCAUAAGCGAUCACUUUCCCGUCCUGCAUCAAAACACAACCCAAUCCAUUAAAGGAAGCAUCACUAUAAAUCACAUACCCUGCUCCAGCAGUCGGCAAGGUAAGGAUCGGGGCAGUCGUCAAUCGCUGCUUCAACUCUUGGAAGCUCCUUUCACACGCAUCAUUCCAAAUAAACUUGGUGCCCUUAUGCGUGAGUCUCGUGAGGGGAGUAGAUAACUUUGCAAAUCCCUCAACGAACCGUCGAUAGUAGCCGGCCAAACCAAGAAAGCUCCGAAUCUCCGUGACACUCGUCGGCCUUGGCCAAUCCUUGAUAGCCUCAAUUUUUCUCGGGUCCACGGCGAUGCCUGAUCCUGAAAUCACAUAGCCCAAAAACGCCACCUCUCUAAGCCAAAAUUCACACUUUUUCAACUUGGCAUAGAGCUUCUCUUCCCGAAGCACUUGAAGUACAAGUCUCAAGUGUUCCUCGUGAUCCGCGUCCGGGAAUACACUAAGAUGUCGUCGAUGAACACCACGACAAACCGGUCUAUGUAAGGCUUGAAAACACGGUUCAUUAAAUCCAUAAAAACUGCUGGGGCAUUAGUAAGCCCAAACGGCAUAACGGUAAACUCAUAAUAUCCAUACCGUGUUUUAAAAGCCGUCUUCGACACAUCCUCAGGCUUGAUCUUCAACUGGUGAUAUCCCGACUGCAAGUCGAUCUUGGAAUAUACACAAGAUCCCUGGAGCUGAUCAAAUAGAUCAUCAAUUCUCGGUAAUGGAUAUUUGUUCUUAAUCGUGACUCUGUUAAGUUCACGAUAGUCCACGCACAAGCGAAGUGAUCCAUCCUUCUUCUUAACAAACAAGACCGGUGCUCCCCAAGGUGACACACUCGGUCGCACAAAACCCUUAUCCAGAAGAUCCUGCAACUAUGCCUUCAGUUCCUUCAACUCUGCCGGUGCCAUCCUAUAGGGUGCCUUUGAGAUCGGGGUAGUCCCGGGGACGAGAUCUACCACAAACUCAAUCUCCCUAUCAGGGGGCAUGCCUGGAAGCUCCGCUGGAAACACAUCUCCAAACUCCCGCACUAUGGGGAUAUCCUCAAUCCUAGGGGCGUCAUCCACACCCCGCAACACAACAGUAGCCAAGUAGGCUACGCAACCUCUACUAAUCAACUGCCUAGCUCGAGAGGAGCUAAUCGUCAUCGCAAACAGCGAACUCUGGCAUCCUCGAUACACAACCUCCGCCUACCCCGGCUCUCUAAAUGUCACCGUUCGAUUCUUACAAUCGAUGGUGGCAAAGUACUUGGUCAGCCAAUCCAUGCCCAACACAACGUCAAACUCCCCGAGUUUAUGCAAAGCUAGCAAGUCCACGGGCAUGAUCCAAUCUCCAAUCCUAACAGGGCAACUGGGGCAAAACUCCCGAAUGUCUAAAGAGUGAUCGGGUACAACAACUCGUCCAGGAUGUAACAAGGAUACAAGUGGGAUGCCAUGCAACUCGGCAAACAGCCGGUCUAUGAAUGAAUGCAAUGCACCGGUAUCAAAUAAAGCUCUAACUCGAAUACCAUGAAGUAAAAUGAUACCUGCGACCACAUUCUCGGCUGGCGUCGCCUCCUCAGUCUGGGCUGCGUACAUACGCCCGCUCGGGGCCUGUCGUGACCCCUCCGUCUGCCGCUGGACAGGUGGCCGACCGGCCUGGUGAUGCGCAGAAGAUGUCCCCUGGCUGGGACCUGGCGAAGCUGGUGCAGAUGUCGAAGAUGGCGCUGGCAAUGGACUCCUCGGGCAGUCCGACUGGAAGUGGCCCUUCUGGCCACACAAGAUGCACCUGCCCCGGCUGCGUGAACACUGCCGCGGAUAAUGAGGACCGCCAUAAAUCAUGCAGCGGGGAGCCUGACGACGAUCGGGUCCUCCUCGCUGAGUAGACUGGCCACGUCCUCGUGACUGGCUCCGGCUCCUGGGGUGUCUCGGCGGCCUCCGUGAGUGCGUCUGGCUCGCACCCUCAGCCGCGGGCCUCUUUCCCUUGCCCUUGUCUAGGGCCUCGCGUCGCUCCUGAAGAUCUGCCGCUCCUGCCUCCACAAUCAAGGCUCGAUCCACAACCUCCCGGUAGGUCUGGAGGUUGGAAGACUGCACCAACCGGAAGAUAGAAGGCCGCAAACCGCGCUCAAAGAUGCGGGCCUUGUCCUCGUCGUCCCUCACAACAAACGGUACACAGUGUAGUAUCCGGGAGAACUCCCUUUCGUACUCAGCCACUGGCCGCUCAUCCUGACGCAAGCUGCGCAAGUCCUGCUCCAUCUUUCUCUUGACGCUGGUAGGAAAGUGGUGCGCCAGUAGAAGUUCCUUGAAUCGUGUCCAAGUAAUCGCCGCCAAGUCGGUGUUGGGGUUGUCCUGGAUAUCCAACCACCAACGGUAGGCCUCGCCGUCCAGAAAGUGAGUGGCGAGCCAAACUCUGUCCCGCUCCUCCACAAAGGUGUCUCGAAACAGCUUCUCCAUGUGCAGCAACCACUUCUCAACAAUCCAGUGGUCGACGUUCUCGCCAUCAAACGUCCUCGGGCUGCACCUCCUGAACUCGCUGAGGCGCUCCAUAAGCCGAUCCCGCUCGGCUCCCUCGGCCAUCACGGGGAAUGCUGCCCCUGUCACCGGUCUCUGAACAGGUAGUGCCGCAGCCACCUCCUCCCGAGGUGCGGUCGCCGGUGCCGCACGUGAAGAACUGGGCGCGGGGGACUGCGCCCUCGGUGCGACGUCCACCACGGGUGCUGGCGGUGUGGGACCCUGGGUCUCCCUCGAAGCUGCCGCCUGCUGAAGUAGGAGGUCCUCAAGAUGCUUCAUCCGCGCCUCCUGCCGCUGAGCCACCUCAGCCUGUCGCUGCGCCGCUGCCGUCUGCUGCGCCAACAGAUCAGUGAGAACCGCAAGCUGGGCCCUCAAGUCACGGACCUCACUAGAUCCGGAAGUAGCGGAGGUCUCGACCUCCUCGGGGUGUGCCGCAUCAUCCGCCCCGGCAGACUGGGAGCGUGUAAUCGGCAUCGUCACUACAAAACAUAAAAGCGCAAGUUAGUAACCCACGCUAUCGCAUCCCCGCUCAAAUAGAUAAAACCCCAAAUCAUGCGAAAGUAAGGAAGUGUCCUUCACUACUAACUCCCGAUGUUACGUUGUCGGCCGCCAACGUAACCCUCCGCGGAGUUAGAAGCCAUACACUCCGAUCAAACUCUAACUUUUUAGAGUUGUCAUAAACCCAAUCAAAAUACUUUCGCUCACAAGUCAAUUAGACCUCGUCUCUCACGAGCCUAAUUCCUAUAGUCCAACCGGCCUAAGGUUCGCUAGGUCCACUAAGACUCAACCCUAGGCUCUGAUACCAAAUUAAUCUGUCACGCCCCGGGACCGGCGGAGGCCCUCCCGGUAGCGUGCCCAGACCCGCCAUAUGUCUACACAUAUAAGGCGUCUACAAUAAAGCGGAAGUAAAAGCAAGAAAUAGAACAAAUAGAACAGUAACAACUAAUGAUAUCAGAGCGAGCAAAGUUCUAUCAUAUAAACCAGAGUAAAGGAAAUAUACCAAGACGAAGAAAGUAAAACAUAAGGUGAUACAAAACUAACUCCUCAAAAGAAAUACCAAGAUCCAAAAGAAAGGUGGUCUCUAUACAUAUACGGGUACAACUCUCAACCUCUCACAAAAUAAAACAUCGAGAGGUAGACCACCUAAACUCGUCUCUCGCUGAAGGGCUAACUCGAAGCGACGCCCUUCCCACGGUCCCUAGCCUCUCCCGGCGUGGAAGGCUCUGAAAGAAAACAUAAAACAGAGGGCGUGAGAACUAUAAUUUAUAGUUCCCAGUGGGCAAUUACUGACCUCAGCUCAUUGCACCACUAGGUCCAAAAGAGAAGGGUAAGUCAAAAGCAAUAACGAGUAAUUUGCAUCUAUGAAAGCAUAAUGAAAAUGCUAAAAUAUUACUUGCAAUUAAACAUGGCAUUCAUGUAAUGCACAAUGAUCUUGUCAUGAAGAAUAUGUCUCUACUUAGCCAUAAAUAAUAUCAUGGUUUGCUUAAAUGAAAUUAUGAGGAUUAUCCCUUAUCAUAGCAACAUUGUUUAUAUGAAUGCAAUUAAACACUGCCUCCUAGCAUACUACAUGUAUGUAUGUAUACCCAAAGUCCAAACCUAUGCUAGAAGCAAGUCCGAGUAAUCCAACUACCACUCUCUAUUUAGUAGUGAUUAUAACAAACUGAUCCCAUGUCGCGUAGGCUAACUCCGGAGUGCCGGCUUGUAGGGAGCGACCCUCACAAGCAUGUGCGAAUGAGCACAAAUGGCAAACAAGCAAGGUCACUGUCUCAAAUACUCUAUCCACAUGUCUCUAACAUGGCGAGGUCACUAGCAUCCCAAUGAUCUAGCCCAAUGUCUCUAAGUGAUGUCCCAACGCUCACUUGGUUAGUGCCUCUUUAUGACACUUAAGCAUCACAACAGAUCGAGCCCAAAUCUUAUUCUAUGUUUCAAUUAAAACAUUAAUACCAAUGAUUACCAUAACCCGGGCCCAAUGCCUCUUUAUGACAUUGUCCCAAUUCUCAAAUAGUCUAAGUUCUCCAGCCCUCUCUAGGCUUCUAACAUUCCUAAUGUCACAAUUGACCUAUAGGUUAAAUGCAUGAAAGCAAGAUUCAUUUCCAUCAGAGGAAUCAUGGUUCCCAAUCAUAACUAGAAUGCUAAGUCUCACAUGCAUGCACUCUACCACAUAGGGGUCUAAAAUUUCACUAUAUAUAAUAUAUGCAUGUUAAGCAUUCCAAAAUUCAUAUUAAAUACAUUUAACAUGGAAAUGCAUGAAUUUCUACUUUACGAAACAUAUUUUGCCAAAUAUGAGCAUUUCUCAUAUCAUAGGCUAGAUCAAACCCACCGAACCGUCGCGUGCUCCUUCGAUUCGCCGAACGGAGUUGUCCACGAGCCUCAAGAUACCCUAAAAGUGAUCAGCGAAGAGAUACACAAGCAUUACGAGCAACUCUAGGCUCGAACAAUAACAAUCACAAGAAUAGGGCAAAAACUCACCUAGGGAGUAGAAAUUCUCACUCAAGCUCCAAAAGAAGGCUAGGAUCCUUCCAAUCUAACCCAAAGGAGGGUUCUAAUCCAAAAAAUCUAGCCUCAAAAGCCCUAGAUCAAAAAGCCCCAAAAUCAACCCUAAAUCUCAUUUCUAGGGUUUCAUCUCCCAAAAAUCACCAAAACAGGAAUCUAUAGGAAGAAACAUCUUACUAACCCUUUGGAAGCUUCAAUCCAAGCUCAAAAUGCCCUAGGGUCGAAGUUUGGUCCACCACUAAACUCCAAAGGCAAGCUCCAAUCCACCAAAAGGGAGAAGAAAGGGUGGAGAUGAAGCUCCAAGUCCUCUACAAGCUCUUCUUCUCCUUCCUUCUCCUUCCUCUCCCACUCUCUCUCUCUCUAGAAGCAAAAGAAAUGGUGAAGUGAGGAAGGGAAGAAGGAGAUGUGGCCAUAUAAGCCUUCUCUUGUAACAAAAUCAUGUGAGGCCCCUCAAAAAUUCAAUAUUGCAUUAGCCCGGUCUGGGCAUUUUUCGCCCAGAGGGACCGGUCUCUCCCCAGCAGGGACCGGUCUCUCGCUGCGAACCUGGAGAACCAACGUUCGGGAACCGGUCUCUCCCUGCGUGGGACCGGUCUCUCUCUGCGAAGGCGCGCUCGGGGACCGGUCUCGCCCGCCAGGGACCGGUUGCCUCAGGGCUGCCGCAACACUGCUCACUGGGGGACCGGUCUCUCCUUCCAGGGACCGGUUCCCGAGAGUAAAAACUCUCAGGACUUAUCCAGAAUUCCAGUUUUCGAACUUUUUAGGUCGAAAAACAUUCUACAACCCUCCACCAAGUGUGGAAAAGCUCGAAAUACAUCCAAACACUCGAACCUCGCAAUUUGCAAAGGUCCAGUGUGCUACAUUCACCCCUCCUAAAAGGGAGUUUCGUCCGCGAAACUCGAAAUGACAAAUACCUCAAGCCUCCAUCUGAAAAAGAUGGGGAUAGCGCUCCCGCAGCGCGCUUUCCAGCUCCCAAGUGGCCUCGCGCUCGUCGUGGUUGCUCCAAAGCACCUUCAAGUAAGGAAUUUCUCGGUUCCGCAAUCUUUUCACCUCGCGAGCCAAAAUCCUCAAGGGUUGCUCUUCAAAGCUCAAAUCAUCCCUCAGCUCCAUAGGCGUAGCAUCCAACACGUGAGCCGGGUCGUGGAUGUACUUCCGAAGGACCGAUACAUGAAACACAUUGUGUACACCCAAUAGGUUUGGCGGUAGAGCGAGUCGAUACGCUACCGGGCCUACCUGGCUCCAAAACACCUCAAACGAGUCCAAUUGGAUCGCGGGCUAACUUACCCCGAUUUCCAAAGGUCCUAAAUCCGUCGAGCGGCGAGACCUUCAAAAAGACAUGAUCUCCAAUCUGAAAUCCAAGUCUCGUCGAGCCGAUCAGCAUAACUUUUCGCCUACUCUGGCCGUGCAAUAGUCGCUCUCGAGCAAUGCGACUUCGUCUCUGCUUCCUUGGAGUCAACAUCAGGGCCUAAGCCAAUCGUCGCGCCAAACUUCACGCCAAUGGAGUGGGCGAUCUACAUUUCCGUCCACUAGGUGUCCCUCGAACGUGCCAUCUUGAUGCUUGCUUGAUAACGUUGUUAUAAGCAAACUCUGCCAUUCGGUGAGAUGCUGCCGUCCAUCCUCCUUGAAGUCAAUCACGCAAGUCGAAGCAUGUCUCGAGAAUCUGUAUAGUACGCUCGACUGCCCGUCACUCUGGGGUGGAAGUGAGUGCUUGAAUCCAAGCGCUACCCAAAGCAUCCUGUAAGCUUUCCAAAGUGAGAUUACAAGAACGGAGGUCUCGAUCUAAAACGUAUAGAAGUAGGUACCCCGUGCAAUCGCACAAUCUUGCUCCAAAUAAAACCUGUGCGAGUCUCUCACGACGUCCAAAAUAGUGUGGAUAGGUCAUGAAAUGUCCGAUUUCGUCAAAUCUAUCACGAUCACCCAAAUAGCAUCUGCCGGCCUGUUGCAGUGAGGCAAUCCCAAUCACGAAAUCAGAUAGUGAUCUCUUCCCACUUCCACACUUGAAGUCGGUAGGGCUUGCCAGCUUUCCCGCAGGAACCGGUGUCAGCCUUUCACCCGUGGAAGGGAUUAAACAGUCUAGCAGACGAACUCAACCAACAUCCUUAUUUUAUCCCGGGCCACAAUAAAGUAACUUCAAGUCCUGUAUACAUCUUGGUGCCUCCCGGUGUACAGGCUACGUGUGCUCGGUGUUGCUUCUGAAGGAAUAUUCUGCUUUAAUGCCCAAAUCCGCGCUACACAAAGUCGUCCGUCCGCGGAAACGCAUCAAUCCAUCACCGUCUAGCAGUGAAAGUUCACCGGUGCAACAUCAAACCAUUCUUAGCUUCGAAUCUUUUUGCAACUCCGAGUCGGAAGCUUGCUUAUCUUUAAUCCUUUCAAAAGUGUGGUUGCACCCUAAGUAAUCAGUCUCAAAGGUGAUUAUCAGGAGCCACCACCUCAACUCAACCGCUUUCAUCUGCUCGAUCAGCGGCUGGUUGUAAGUUUAACCACAACGCAUCGGCUAAGUCUCAGGCGAUUCCUACUUAGCGCAUCCGCCACCACGUUAGCCUUGCCGGGUGUUAAAGUAUCGUCAAAUCAAUAAUCCAUUGAUAUAGCUCCAACCAUCUGCUGCCGCUGCCUUCAAGUUCAACUCCUUCUGGUGAAUAGAUUACUUUAAGCUUUUUGUGAUCCGUAUAUACUUCGCACUCGGCCGCAUGAGGUAAUGGCCGCCAUAGCCUUUAAUGCAAAAAGAUCACGGCAGCAAUCCAAGUCAUGUUAGGAUAGUUCCGUCUCGUAAUCCUUCAAACGUGGCAAGAUGCAUAAGAAACAAUAAAACGAUCACUUUCUCCCGUUCCUGCAUCAAAACACAAUUCCAAUCCAUUAAACGGAAGCAUCACUAUUAAAUCCACAUAACCCUGCUCCUUAGGCAGUCGCUAAGUAAGGAUCGGGUGACAGUCCGUCAUAUCGCUGUUCAACUCUUGGAGCUCCUCUAUCACACGCAUGGUCAUUCAAAUAAUACUUGGUGCCCUUAUGCGUGAGUUCGUGAGGGGAGUAGAUAACUUUGAAUCCCUUCACGAACCUGUCGAUAGUGCCGGCCAAACCAAGAAAGCUGCCGAAUCUCACGUGACACUCGUCGGCCUUGGCCAAUCUUGAUAGCCGUCAAAUUUUCUCGGGGGUCACGCCGAUUCCUGAUCUGAAAUCACAUAGCCCAAAAACGCCACCUCUCUUAAGCCAAAAUUACACUUUUUCACCUUGGCAUAGAGCUUCUCUUCCGAAGCACGUGAAGACAAGUCUCAAGUGUCUCGUGAAAUCCGCGUCUCGGAAAUACACAUAAGAUGUCUAGUCGAUGAAACCACGACAGCGGUCAUAUGUAAGGCUUGAAAAACACGGUUUCAUUAAAUCCAUUAACAAACCUUGCCUGGAGGCAUGAGUAAGCCCAAACGGAACUAACGUAAACUAUAAUAUCCAUACCGAUUGUUUUAAGAAGCGUCUUCGACACAUACCUCAGGCUUUGAUCUAAUUCAACUGGUGUAUCCAGACUGCAAGUCGAUUUGGAAUAUACACAAGCAUCCCUGGAGCUUGAUCAAAUUAGCAUCAUCACAUUCUCCUGGUAAUGGAUAUUUGUUCUUAAUCGUGACUCCUGGUCUAAGUUCACGGAUAGUCACGCACAAGCGAAGUGGAUUCCAUCCCUUCUUCUUAACAAACAAGGACCGCGUGCUCCCCAAGGUCACACUUCGGUCGCACAAAACCCUAUCCAGAAGAUCCUGCAACUAUGCCUUUCAGUCUCCUCAACUCUGCGGUGCCAUCCUAUUAGGUGCCUUGAGAUCGGGGUAGGUCCGGGGACGAGAUCGCUACCACAAACUCAAUCUCCUAUCAGGGGGCAUGCCUCUGGAGCUCCGCUGAAACACAUCUCCAAACCCCGCACUGAUUGGGAUAUAUCCUCAAUCCUAGGGGCGUCAUCACACCCGAACACAACAGUAGCCAAGUUAGGGCUACGCAACCGUCUACUAAUAACCUGUGCCCUAGCUCGAGAGAGGCUAAUCGUCAUCGCAAACAGCGAACUCUGCAUCCCUCGAUACACAACCUCCGCCUACCCGGCUCUUAAAUGUCCCGUCUCGAAUUCUUACAAUCGAUGGUGCAAGUACUUGGUCAGCCAAUCCUGCCAACACAACGUCAAACUCCCCGGAGUUUAUGCAAAGCUGAGCAAGUCCCGAACGGGCAUUGAUCAUCUCCAUCCUAAUCAGGGCAACUUGGUGCAAAAACUCCGAAUGUCUAAAGAUGAUCGGGUGUACAAACAAACUCGUCACAGGAUGUAACAAGGAUACAAGUGGAGAUGCCAUGCACUCGGCAAACAGCGGUUCUAAUGACUGAAUGCAAUGCACCGGUAUCAAAUAAAGCUCUAACUCGAAUACCAUUAAGUAAAUGAUACCUGCCGACCCACAUUCUGGCUGGCGUUCGCCUCCUGAGUCUGGCGCUGCGUACAUACGCCGCUCGGGGCCCUGUCGGUGACCGCUCCCUCUGCCGCUGGACAGGUUGCGGCGACGGCCCUGGUGGAUGCGCCAGAAGAUGUCCCCUUGGCUGGCGACCUGGCCGAAGCUGGUGCAAUGUCGAGAUGGCGCUGGCAAUGGAUUCUCGGGCAGUCCGACUGGAAGUGCCCUUCUAGCGCCACACAGAUGCACUGCCCUCGGCUGCCGUGAACACAUUGCGCCGAGAUAAUGAGGACCGCCAUAAAUCAUGCCCAGCGGGGGCCUGACGACUGAUCCGGGGUCCUCCUCGCUGAGGUAGACUGGCACGUCCUCGUGACUGGCUCCGGUCCUGGGGCUGUCUCGUGCGGCCUCCGUGCGUGCGUGCUGGCUCAGCACCCUCAGCGCGGGCCUCUUUCCCUUUUGCCCCUUGUCUAGGGCCUCGCGUCGCUCCUGGAAGAUCUGCGGCGCUCCUGCCUCCACAAUCAAGGCUCGAUCCACAAACUCCCGUAGGUCUGGAGGUUGGAAGACAUGCACCAACCGAAGAUAAAGGCCGCAAACCGCGCUCAAAGAUGCGGGGCCUUGUCCUCGUCGUUCCCUCACACAACCGGUACACAGAUGUCGUAUCCGGGGGAACUCCUUUCGUACUCAGCCACUGGCCGCUCAUCCUGAAAAACGACCAAAGCUGCGCAAGUCGACUGCUCCAAUCAUUUCUCUUUGACCGACUGUAGGAAAGUGCGUGCGCAGUUAGAAGUUCUUGAAUCGUGUCCAAGGUAAUCGCCGCCAAUCGGUGUUGGGGUUGUCAUGGAUAUCAACCACCAAACAUAGCCUCGCCGUACAGAAAUCGAGUGCGAGCCGAAACUCUUAUCCCUCUCCUUGACGAAGGAUCUCGAAAGCUUCUCAUGUGCCAGCAAGCCAACUUCUCGACCAAUCCAGUGGCGACGUUUUUCGCCUAUCCAAACGUUCUCGGGCUGCACUCCGAACUCACUGGAGGCGAUCUUAUUGCAGCCGAUCCGCUCGGCUUCCCUCGGCCAUCACGGGAAAAUGCCGCCCCGUCACUGGUCUCUUGAAUAGUAGUGAUAGCAGCACCUCCUUCCCGAGGUGCGGUCGCGGGCGCACGUGUGAAGAACUGGGCGCGGGGACUGCGCCCUCGAGUGUCACGAGUCCCACCAUGGGUGCUGGCGGUAUGUAGGGCCUGAUCAUCCUGCGAAGCUGCCGCCUUCUGCAGUAGGAGGUCCUCAAGAUGCUCGAUCCGCGCUCCUGCCUGCAGCUACUCAGGCCCUGUCGCGUGCGCCGUACUGUUGCUGCGCCAACAGAUCAGUGAGAACCGCAAACUGGGGGCCUUUUUCCAAAAAAAGUCACGGGACCUACACUAGGAUCCGGAGUGAGCGGAGGUCUCGACCUCCUCGGGUUGUGCCGCAUCAUGCCGCCCCAGCAGACUGGGAGCGUGUUCAACCGGCAUCGUCCUACAAAACCAUAAAAGCGCAAGUUAAUAACCCACGCUAUCGCAUGCCCGCUCAAAACGAUAAAAACCCAAUCAUGGCGAAGUAAGGAAGUGUCCUUCACUCCUAACUCCGAUUGUUACGUUGUCGGUCGCCCGUAACCCUCGCGAAGUUAGAAGCCAUACACUCCGAUCAAACUCUAAACUUUUUAGAAUUAUUUCAUCAAACCCAAUCAAAAUACUUUCAGCUCACAAAGUUCAAUAGACCCUCGUCUUCACGAGGACCUAUUCCUAUAGUCCGACCGAGCCCUAAGGUUUACUAGGUCUCUAAGAUCAACCCUAGGGCCUCUGAUACCAAACUAAUCUGUCACGCCCGGGACCGCGCGAAGGCCCUCCUUAGCGCGCCCAAACCCGCCAUAUGUCCUACACCAUAUAAGGCCGUCUACAACAGAAGUGAAAGUAAAGCAAGCAAGGUGAGAACAAUUAGCAUGCGAUAGGUAAUGAUAUAAGAUGCGAAGUAAGUUCUUAUCAUCCUAAACCAGAGUAAAGAGAAACAUAACUAACAAUAAAAGUCGCCAUAUAGGUAUACAAUACCUAUCUCCUCAAAAGAAAAACAAAGAUCCAAAGAAAUGUCGUCUCUAUACAUACACGGGUUACAACUACAACCUCUCACAUAAAUAAAACCACGAGAGGUAGACCACCUUCAAUCGGUCCUCGAAGAAGCUAGCUCGAAGAACUCCCUUUCCGCGGUCCCUAGCCUCUCCGACGUGAAAGGCUUCUGAAUAGAAACAUAAAACAGAGGGCAUGAGAACUUAAUUUAUAGUCCAGUUGGCAUUAUGUACCUCAGCUCAUUGCACCACUAGGUCAAGAGAAGGGGAAGUCAAAAGCACAUAACGAGUAAUUUGCAUCUAUGAAAGCAAUAAUGAAAAUGCUAAAAUUUACUUGCCAAUUAAACAUGGCGAUUUCAUGUAAGCACAGAUGAUCUUGUCAUAAAAGAUAUUGUCUCUCCUUAGCAUAAAUAAUAUUCAUGGUUUGCCUUAAUGAAAUUAUAGGAUUAUCCCUUAUCAUAGGCCACUAUUGUUUAUAUGAAUGCAUUAAACACUGCCUACCUAGCAUACUACUAAUAUGUAUGUAUACCCAAAGUUCCAACCUAUGCUAGAAGUAAGUCCGAAGUUAAUCCAAACUACCACUCUCUAUUAGAGUGACAUUAUAACAAACUGAGAUCCAUGUCGCGUACGGCUACUCCGGAGUGCCGCUGUAGGAGCGACUCACAAGCCAUGUGCGAAUGAGCACAAAUGCAAACAAGCAAGGUCACUGUCUCAAAUACUCCUAUCCCAUGUCUCUACAUGGCGAGGUCCUAGCAUCACCAAUGAUGCUAGCCAAGUCUCUUAAGUGAUGUCCAACUGCUCUCACUUGAGUUAGUGCCUCUUUUAAUGACACUUAACGCAUACAACAGAUACGAGCCCAAAUCUUAUUUAUGCUUUCAUUAAAACAUUACUACCAAUGUUACCAUUAACCGGGCCCAAUUGCUCUUUAUGACAUUCUGUCCAAUUCUCAAAUAGUCUAAGCUCUCCAGCCCGUCUCUACUUUCUAACAUUCCUAAAUGUCACAAUUAGACCUAUAGGUUAAUGCCAUGAAAGAAGAUCAUUCCAUCAGAGGAAUCUAUGGUUUCCCAAUCAUAACUAGAAUGCUAAGGUCUCACAUGCAUGCACUCUCCAGCAAUAGGGGUCUAAAAUUUCACUAUAUAUAAUAUAUGCAUGUUAAGCCAUUCCAAAUUCAUAUUUAAAUUACAUUUACAUGGGAAAUGCAUGAAUUCUACUUUACGAAAAUAUUUUGCCAAAAAUAUGAGCAUUUCUCAUAUCAAGGCCUAGAUCAAACCACCGAACCGUCGCGUGCUCCUUCGAUUCGCCGAACGAGUUGUCCACCGAGCCUCAAGAUACCCUAAAAGUUGAUCAGCGAAGAGAAUACACAAAGCAUUACGGAGCAACUUCUAGGCUCGAAACAAUAACAAUCACAACGAUAGGGCAAUAACUCACUUGAGGGAAGUAGACAAUUCUCCACUCAAGACUCCAAAAGAAGGCCAGAUCCUUUCAAUUAUCCAAAGGAGGCGUUCAUAAUCCAAAAAAUCUAAGCCUCAAAACCCUAGAUCAAAAAGCCACCAAAUCAACCCUAAAUCCAUCUUCUAGGGGUUUCACUCUCCCAACAAUCACCAAAACAGCAAUUUCUAUAGGACAGAACAGUUACUACUUUGAAGCUUCAAUCCAGCCUUCAAAUGCCCUAGAUCGCGAAGUUUGGUCCACCACUAAGCUCAAAGGCAAUGCUCAUCCACCAAAAGGAGAAGAAAGGGUGGAGAUGAGCUCCAGUUCCUCUUACAAGCCCUUCUUUCCUUCCUUCUACUUCCCUCUCCACUCUCUCUCUCUCUAGAAGCAAAAGAAAUGGUGAGUGAGGAAAGGAAAGAGAAGUGGCCAGUAUAGCUCUCUCUUGUACCAAAAUCCUGUGCAGGCCCCUCAGAAAAUCCAAUAUUGCAUCAGCCCGGUCUGGGCAUUUUUCGCCAAGAGGACCGGUCUCUCCCCAGCAGGGAAGGUCUCUCGCUGCCGAACCCGGGAGACCAACGUUUCGCGAACCGGGUCUCCCUGCGUGGGACCGGCUCUCUCUGCGACAUGCACGCUCAGGGACCGCGUGCAUCAAGGCUGCUGCAACACUGUUCACCUGGGGGACGAUCUCUCCUUCCAGGGACGGUUUCGAAAGUAAAACUCUCAGUUUAUUGUCAAGAAUCAGUUUUCGAAACUUUUAGUCGAAAAACAUUCUUACAUACCCUCCACCAAGUGUGGAAACUCGAAAAUAACAUCCAAACACGGUCGUAACCUCGCAAUUGCAAAGGCUCCAGUGUGCAUACACACCGGCGUGCCAAACAAUUUGUUAGGAGCGAAUUCCCUUCUCUUUGACCGGUCAAAGAUUUUCUUCGGAAGCGGGUCGGGGAUGCGAACGGCUACGAUUAGUGAUCCUCGAGUUGUUGCCCUUCGACUGAAUCAGCGAUUCAGCUGAUGAUGGAUCAGAUCAGCCACAGUUCAAAGCUUUUUACUGUAGACUGGUUCGGCUUAAGAGCCAAAUUGCUAACAGAAAAUAUAGGUUCUAAGUCGGCUGAAGAGCGAAUGCCUUUAUAUAUUGGCAGUUAACUGAAAACUAGUACCAGAGACGAGUGCUGCCUGAGGCAUACAGACUCUUGUUUGAUCUACCUUAAAUCUACUCCUAGGAAAACGGUAGUGCCGGGAAAGUAAAAGAUUACAAUGUAGACUACUCCUUAAGUAAUUGGCGAAAAAAUUUACAGAGGGAAAUAAAGGUUGGGUCUUCUGGUUCUCUGAGGAAAAGACCUCUUUUCUGUGCAUUAUCUUUGUUAUUUUUUCUUAUUUUUGCUUAUUAUAGUCGUCCCCCUGUUUUGAUCCGUUAUUCCCCAUCCAUGAUCGGCAAUACUCCUAUUAUUCCGGGAGUCAUUUCCAGCCGAUCGGAACUGCUUGCUUAACCACUCUGCAGUUAGGGCCGUUUGUUUUGUGUAAGUGGAGUGAGUGGAACUCAAGUUCAAUCACUUCUCGUUAUUUGUUUUGGUUGUAAGUUAAAAUUAAAUAACCCACCUACUCUCGACUUCCGGUCUUACAGUACCGAACUGCGACCUUCCAACCACACUCAACUUCUUAAACAAUUUAUUAAACAGUAAAUGAAACUCUACUUUCUUAUAAUGGGUUAGAAUUACUUUAUUUAUAAUAUAUAAAUUAUCUAAAAAAAUAAUAAAAUUUAAUCAUAUAAUGGUUUAAAUUUAUAGUGAUAAUUUAUUUCCUAUAUAAGAGAUAAUGAUCCACUGUACUUUACAUCAAAACAAACAACGGAACUUAAAAAACUAAUUUUACCAGCACCAAGUUACAUCAAAACAAACAGCAGAAGUGAUUGAAUUUAACUUUCAGUGGUACGAGUUACGUCAAAACAAACAACAGAAAAAUAAUCACACUUCAGGGAAACUCAAACACCACUACACUUGACUUAUGUUGAAUCUACAAAUUCGUCAAUCCAAACGCCCCCUUACUGUAACUUCCCUCAGUUACAUCCGGCAGUUACUCAAUAUUAUUGUUGAUACUCCCGGUGCACAUCAAAAUCUUUUUAAUCCUUGCUUCUUAAAGACUAGGGUUGAGUGGAGUACUAGCGUACCACCUGGCCACAGGUUAUUGGCCCAACAAGUUGUAUCUUCAAUUUCCUUGAAUGGGUCAGGUUGGCAGCCGAUAACGCGACGUCGUCAAAAUGGUUGAAACACAUUUCACCUACUUUCACAUGAUUGGUGUUUAUUUUAUGUUGAGCGGGGUUGCACUUGAAUUGGACUGUAAUAACCUAAUAUUAUUUUUACAGAUUAUGAUACCGACGACGCGCUCCAUAGAGAAUAGGCAGUCGAAUCGGAGACAUUCACGUCCUCUGGAUCGUCCGAGUCCGGAAGCUUAGGGAGCCAUUGGCCAUAUUGGCCAGCAUGGUGGAGAGACAGACAUCACCGGCAUAGUUGUAAGCAGAAAAAUCUUAAUAGUAUUAAAUACCAUUUUUCUCACUGGAACUCUGCUAUUUGCCGAAGUUCAGUGAACUAUAGAUAGGUGUUGGUGGGUAGGCUAGCAUCCAAUGUAAGCAUAUAAUGUGUGAACCGACGCGUUGCACAUACAAGGAAACUCUGUUUGUGUGUGGCUCAGUUGCAUACCCGAUUGGGCUUUUGCAUUAGAUAGUAACACAAGGAUUACUGGGAAUGUAAUUAACAUACCAAACACAUUAAUAUAAUAUUCCGGUAUUUAAAGAUAAUAUUGCUGGCCAAACCAAACAUAGUAAUGCUGCAUUGUGGGUAAUCAGAUUCAUGAGAAUAAGAUUUUAGAAAAUCUGACAUUGUUCGUUAAUCUUGUUAUAACAUGCACCAAACGCCUCCUUUGAAUAAUGUGUCCGGAUAAGCAUCUUGUUAUGUAUUUCUUCUUAAUUUCUGUGGUAUCUGUCAAAAUUGUCACAAUGAACAGUAGAAGUAAAAUCAAAUAUCCUAAAGAAAUUUUCUAUUUAUUUGAAAUAGAGACAGUGUGGCAUGCAGAUUAAAUGUCAGUUUUCCAAUUUAGGUGCAAUUGGACUUUCUAUAAAUUGAAGAAGCUGUGUACUUACAAAUCAAAUCUAAGGUUUUUUUUUUUUACAUUAGCCUAAAGAUGAUUUGGUAUGUAGUGAAUAUGGACUUAUGCUCGCAAGCACGUGCCCUCGUACACACGCAGAGUAGGUAUGUGCGAUGUCCCUUGAAGCAACUCUCAUGUCAUCGUGUAGUACUGCGCGAGUGAAUUUGCUGAAGCUGCAAAUAACUUGCUUUUUAUUUGGCUAAUUCUCUCCUCUUUUAUCUUUAGAUUACUGUUUAUUUGACGAAUCGAACUUAAAACAUAUUAAUUUGAGUCAAACGUAUGACACUUGGUAGAAAGAAAAAAAAUAAAUAAAAAUACAUGCUUAAAUUGAUUAGGCACAAACUGUUUAGAAGAGUUUGUAUCAUCAUAAAAUCUGUAAGCUGCAACACCGGUCCCCAAACUUUUGGCCAAGCUUCACUUCCUUCCUCAAAUUUAUAAGUUCGAACAGCUACAUCCUAAGUUUUUAAAACUGUCUCACUUUAGAUUCCCACGAUUGGUGCAUCUACACAUCCAUGGAUCACUAACCUAUUGAACUUGAUCACAUCUCAUAUUUCAAUCCUACCACUCACUCAAAAAGUUCUUUCACUGUUUGGAAAUUGAAUGGUUAGACUGAAGCACGAGAAUGAUGUUGUGUCGUCUUGCAGGCUGGACGUACAGAUGAACUGCAUAGAGUCGAUCAUUGUUCCUCUAAUGCAAUGACUAACGUAAAGACAGUUUCAAGAAUCUAGGAUGUCGAACUUCAAACUCAAAAGCAAGAGGACCAAAGUGAAACUUGGCAAAAGGUUCAGGGACUAGUAGUGCAAUUUACCCUAAUAUUUAAGGGACAGAGCUUCAGGUUUUGCUACGAUCAUUCGGAAGGAUAAAUCUUCUCAAUAAUGGAGUUGAAAGUAAGCAUUGACUAUUGCUGGGAAUGCUUUUACAACAAUUGCCUCUACUGCUGCUAAAAUCUUCUGUACAGGAUAAAACUACAAGACAUAUUGCAGAAACAGCCUCGACUUAAUUUCCAAUAACCAAAACCUCAUUGGCUAAUCUGCAGAAUCAUACAACCAAAACUUACCAAACUCGGCAACAAUAUUCAUUCGAGAAAAUGAGGCGAGUCCGGAAGGGGAAGAGGAGAGUAGAUUCAAGAGCCUAAGUGAGUAGCAUAGUGAAGUACGUCCUAUGGCAAUUCCUGUGCUUCCAAUAAUUCAUGGGCCUCCGACAAUUCUUGAGUUUCUGAGAAAGAUUGCACUUCUGCUUGCGCCUCCUUCAGCAUUUCAGCUGCAGCUAUUAGCUUUCUCGGCCUUCCUCUAGACCUCGCGGGAGUCACAUCAACUGCGGCAUCUAACGACGAGACGACUGGCUCCACAUCAGAAGCAGUUUCAUCCACUGUAGGCAUAUUCCUCACAUGGCUGAGAAGCUUAUUCAUAUGCCACUGCGCGUAAUCAAACCGGUCUUUUGUCAAGGACGAUUCUUGUAUAAUGAUGGAAGCCAGGGACCGAAGGGCUUGUGACCUAUACUUGUAUCCCGUGCUUUUUGGAAACAACGAGCUUUCUUUACGCCACCGAGGCAAAAGAUAUUUAUCCGGAAGUAAGAAGAAGUUCUUCAAUGGUAAAACCCUAAGGGCGUGGCGGCACAAAAUCCCAGAUGACUCAAACUCCUUGCAACUGCAACGUAUCGAUUCGUCUGACGAAAUCCACUGAAUGAUAUGCCCUCCAUUAGACUGCAAUCGAUGUUGGACGAGGUACGUGUCUCUUUGAGCAUCAUAAACCGCAAAUUGUGUUGAUUCCACAAGCUCUUUUUGAAAUAGAUCAAAGGCGAAAGGAGUAAGAAUACUCGCUGCAUGCUCUUCAAUCGGCAUGCAUGUCUUAAUCUUCAUAUUCUGGUAGUCUUGUCUUAUUGUUGCUUCCUCUGCUGCUUGGUUUUGGAGGUCAACUGCGGUGGCCACCUAAUACAAAACAAAAAAAUGAGCUCUACUAGUUUGAAAACCAGAAACAAAAAAGCAAACAAAGGAAGAGUCACAUGAGAGGAAGGAAAUAUUUAUGGUAGAAACAUUAAAAUACCUGCUCGACAAAAUCUCUUAGCCGAGUCUGAGAGUUCAAGAACCCUCUGAAGAACGAUUUGAUCGAUGUCGAAAAACCAGUUGCAUUCAAUCCACCAAAGAACCACCCUCGAAGGAAUGGUAAUGCCCAAUUUUCCCGGUUAUAUGUAAGUAAGGUAAUAUGUCGGUCUGAGCUAAGUCCAAACUCGCUAACCAUCUGACUCCAUUGUUGAGUAAAAUCCUCCAAAUUAUCCAACGUAGAGAUUCUUUGGAACUCGGUCAUUAACCUCUCAAAAUGAGGGCCAAGUGACAUUGAAAACCAGCUCGAUAAUUUGGAGACGAUGUACCAUGAACAAAAUGCAUGUUUUGUGUUUGGUAGCUCACUCAUUAUAGCUUCUUUGAGUCCUAGAUCCAGAUCAGUCAGCAGUGUUUGCGGGAGCUUCCCAUCCAUUAGAUGGACCAAAGACUACACAAAGAAAGCAAGCCAAUAUUAAAGACACAAAAGAAGAUAAAGGGGAAAUGUGAACAGAAAUAAAAAAAAAGGUUCUCAAAUAACAAAAUAAGCUCGCAUACAAAAUGCUGAAAUAAUAACCUAUAUUUAACCCCCUCGAUUGUUUAGACUACUAGCACUUUGGCCCUUCCUAUCAUAUUUUCCUUUUUUUUCCAUUUAGGAAUUGUUGGAAAAUUGUUAUUGGCAUAAGGACAUUUCAGAUUAUAAUUUAGGACUAUCUAACAAUUCAAAAGUGGAUUUCAUAUUUAAAGAGGGUGAAACAAACAAAUGACAUUAUUCUUAGCAGAGUUUUGUACAAUUUAGCCACAAAAAUAAGAAGGAAAUGUAGACAAACCUGCAAAGCCCACCUAAAGGAAGAUGGCCUUUCAUCCUGCAAUAGAACACAAGCAAAGAAUAUGGCGUUGCCAUAGUUGUCUGUGCCAAACCAAACUCCAAAAGGUCGGUCAUAUGCAUAGAGCCGAUAUGUAGUAUCAAACACCACUACAUCUCCAAAAACUUUGUAUGCAUGAAUUGAGUCUGGGUACGACCAUAAUACAUGCUCGAGCUUGUCAUUCGCAUCAACAGUAAAAUCAUACCGAAAAUCUGGACACCUGUCUUUCAUUGCCUUGCAUGCCUUGAGAAGCUCCACUCCUUCAUUCUCGCGAUUAAUGUUCUUCGAAGCCUGUAAAAAAUUCCUCAAAUCCCUCUCAGUGAACGACAACUGCCCUGCCUUCACUCCUUUUUCCAUCUCGAGAGCCCUCAUUAUAAGAUUCACUGUGCAGCCGGCCUUCACAAGAUACAAAAUUCGCUCCCGGUCCACCGAUGAUAUAUUCCUGUAGGCAGGAAGAUGUCGCACUUCAUCGCUAUCGAGCAACUCAUGGUUAUGCAUGUUACUGAAUUGAACGACCACCCACCGACUCGUACCCUUUGAGACGUUCUUCUUGAUUAUCAUUUGCGCCUCACAUUUGCAUCGCGAAGAUUUCUUAUUUCUUUGGCGCUUGAGCUCGGCUGUUUUACGUGGAAGGGACACACCAGCUCGGUGGCACACGAGCUCUCGCUUAUAUACUCCUAAAGGGUGAGAAGGGUUUCCCUUUGAGCGCUCUCUUCUUAUUGCGAAGCCAUUUCUACGAGCAAAGUUGGUAUAGUAUUCUUGAGCCUCAUCAUCGGUUCGGAAGGACUGGCCCACAUAUGGGGUUUCUAUAUUUACUAUAUCAGGAGAAGUGUGUGGCGGUCCAUGCAUAAGGUUUGGAUCGACAGGCAAUGCGGUGUCAGUUGAUGCAUCUUCUUCAUUCCCCUCAACCUUAAUAUAGCAUUGCUCAUCCCCACACGGGCAUCGUCGUCUUUGGGUAAGACAGCCGUUGUUUCUUGACGAUGUUUUCGUCAUUCAAAGUGCGUUCAGCCUGAGAGUGCCAAUCUGCUACUGUAUUAUACACAAAUUACAAAGUAGAAACAAAGCACGAGCACAGUUAAUGCAACACAUUACAAUAGUAAGGAAAAAAAGGAUCCAAGUGAACUAGAAGAAGAAAUAAGUUAACAAAGCCCUUCAAAUUGAAUAACAUAAACUCAUAUCAUUUUGGAUCUUCAUUUUAAGUAUGAAACUCAAUAGUUGGUCACAAUGCAAUGAAGAAACAACAAUACUAUGGGCAUGUUUAGCACCGCUUCUGCUUUAAGCAGCAGAAGCCUCUAGAGAGUGUUUUACAAACAGAAAAUUUUGGAUCUUCUGCCAUAGAGCCAGAAACAAAAAUAAGAUUCUUAGCCUCAAAUGCAGAAGCCCCAAAUUUGGUGCUUCCGAUUCUUCUGUAAAGAGAAGCUCGUAGGGAGAUUUUUCUAUAGUGAUUCUACUAAUUGCACUACUCACACAACGCUGAGGGCCAAAUCAAAGCUCAAUAGAAGAAAGACAAACAACAAUUACAUAGACGAGCAACAGAAUUACCUCAUUCUUAUUGAUAUGCUCAUUGCAAACCAAAAUAUUGGACAUACAUUUAUUUCUGAAGCAAUUAAAAAGCAGGGUACAAUUAUGUUUGAUCAGAAGUACUGCAUUAAGUACCACUAUUUGAUGAAGUAGACAAAUGCACUAAAAACAGCAAUCUUUUUUCCAUAGCAUAAUCUAAUUUCACAUAAUUAGCUCAGAAACUGAAGCAAUGUCCCAUCUUUAAUCCAUUUAUUUAUCAACGUACUACGAAUUAAAAGCCGAUUGAAUGCAUCUGUAUCGCAGAAUUAGCUUAGGCCCUGUUUGGAGGUUGGAAUAAGUUAUCCAAGAAUAACUUAUUUGGUGUAAGGAUUCUCUAGUGCGCUUAUAAGAAAAAAAUUUGAUCUUUACACCUCGAAAUGUCUUAAUAUUUGUGAUUUAAUAGAAUAACAUAGUUUACUUAUAGGAAAUAAUUUAUCUAAUGUGAAAAAAAAAUAUAUUUAUUUAUGAUUUGAUAGAACAACAUAUUUUACUUACGAAAUAAUUUAUCUUUUAAGUGAAAAAAAUGACUUGAAGGCUGAAUACAACAUCAAAUUCGACACUUUCAUCUAUCAAACAUACAAGUUUCUGAAGUAAAUUAAGAAGACAUAAAAAAACAAGAUACUCGUACAUUCAAAAAGGGCUGGGGACAAGAAAAAAGCUCAUAAAUGUCCCAAAUUUGGAGCCAAUGUUAAGAAAUAGCUCUUAGCAUGAUCGUAAUUAGCUCAAAUUAGGAGCAUUACCCGAGAUAGAGGCGAGAGCGCGAUGAAUUUGAGGGGCUUUGGUUUAAUGUUAGGGUUAGGACUUUUGGUGUGGGGAUUUGGGUACGCCUAACGGCGACUCGGGGGAGCGCGGAGGUCUCCGGCGAGGAAUUGGGGGGUUGAUAUUCCGACCCCCUUUUGCUGGGGCCGGAUCCACACGGCGCGCGAGAGAGGCAGAGAGGAGAGAGGGAGGUGGGAGGGAGAGACGUCGAAACACGGGUGGGAAUAUCGAACGCCGCGGGUUAUGAGAGAAAGGGGUUUUUCCAUGUAGAAAUAAUUUUUACAAAUUAAUUUUGAUUUGAAAUAUUAAUUUGAGUUAAACUUAUUGAACGUUUGGCUAAUUUUAACUUACGAAAAAUUCUCAAAUAAUAAUGUUUUUACUGAAUUUAUUUUAAAAUAAUUUAAAAUCAGAGCACAAAUUUAAAAUUUGGUAUUUAUAAUUUAAAACUUAAAAAUAAAAUUUUCAAAUUUCAAAUUUAAAUUUAAAUUUAAAUUUAAAUUUUGAAUUUUAAAAAUAUAAAAUUUUAAAACAUAAAUUUUAGAUAUUAAAUUUUAAAAUUUUAAAAUUUUGAAUUUAAAAAAUUUAAAUUUGAAAUUUGAAAUUGAAAAUUUAAUAUUUAAAGCCUAAAGAUUAAAAUUUAAAAAUAUAAAAUUUAAAAAUAUAAAAUUUUAAAUUUAUAUAAUUUCAAAUUUUAUAUUUUAAAAUUUAAAAUCUAAAUUUCAAUUGAAACUUAAAAUUUUAAAAUUUGGAAUUUGAUAUUAAAAUUUAUAAACUAAAAAUUAUAAUUAGGAUUUGAAAUUUUAAAUUUCAGAUUUUAAAAUUUAUUUUUAAAUUAUAAAUUUGAAAUUUAAAAAUUUGAAUUUUGAAAUUUGGAAUUCGAGAUUUGAAAUUUAUAAUUUAAAUUUUAAAAUAGAAUUUAAAAUUUAAAAGUUAAUAUCUAAAUUUAAAAUUUUAGAAUUUAAAACUUUAAAAUUUUAAACUUAACAUUUGAAUUUUAAAAAUCUAAAAUUUAAAUUUAAAGUUUAAAAGUUGAAAUUUGAAAUUUAAGAUUUAAAAUUUAAAUUUAAAAUUUGAAUCCAAAAUGUAAAUAUAGUAUCCCUGGUGUUCUGCAGCCUGUGUGAUUUCAGCAUCUAAGACUUGUCAACACAUCUGGAGAGUGUCGAGACCAGUCGGAGUCGUUUUAGUGCGAAAUAGACGUAAAACAGACUCGACGCGAGGCGAGAGUGGAAUUCCAACGCUGAAAUCCGCAAAGUGCAGGAUUUCAGUGUUGAGUACCGAUACGGUAUUGGGCUGGUACCGGUACCCUGUGUGUGAGCUUGUGGUUUGAGAGGCCGAGUACCAGUAACCAAAUCGGAUACCGGUACUCCAGCUGUCUUUUGAGUUGGUAAAGGGGUAUGGUGGUCACUUGUGGUGGUGGUUAUCCACGCCACCUACUCACUUAUGUUUAUCCACCAGAGAGAGAUUAAUUAUCUCAUGUUCAUCUCUCUAGUUUUAAUUGUGUGCUUAGUGGAGGCUACGGCUUGAGCUCGGAUCGAUGUUGACGUUGCGCCGGGGAGUCGUUCGAGCGCGUGGACGUCGCGGUUGCGCCGUUGGAGGGCGGGGGGAAGCGCGUGUUUUCCUUUCUCUCGACUUCUCGCCGUUGUUGGACUAGCUUUCCAAGGUGGGUUGAAGUUUACUGAAAUCGUCGAAAUACCUCCUAAGUUUUUAUAUCGUCAUGUAUCAUGUGUUUAUUUUCUUGCUAGUACUCGAAUUCAUGGAUAAGGCUUAAAAUCUGAAUUUGGAGUUAAGUAGUAGUAGUAUAAUUUUACAUGUUGGACUUGGAAUUGACUUAGGAAAAAACUGUAGAUCCUACACUGUCAUUUUCUGAAAACUACCAGAUUUAGCUUUAGGAGCUGUGGUUUGUUUGUAUUGACGCAGUUUGUAUGCGGUAGAUACCCAGAUUAGUGUAGGAUGGGUUUACGCUAGUACUGGAAUGCCAAGUUUAUUUUUACAGUAGUGUAUAGACUGUUUCGGACUGUCGGGUGCCGUCGCGGUUGACGGUGGACCCAGAUUUCUGUAUUUAUAUUAGAUUGUGUCAAGGGCACGUGAACUUUGGUUGUUAGACCCAUUUGCUUUGAUUAUAGCCUGUGAGAGUUUGAUUGAGCUCAGCAGAGACACGCUUGCAUACUCGGUUGGGUAGUGCCCACGAGUGCCGCACCGGAGUCGUGCUUUAUGCUUUUGCUUUGUUGUCGCUGUUAGAUGUAUGCCCUAGAAGCCAACCAGGCCGACACAUGUAUUCUUUUUAGGACAUAAAUUUGUAUUUGAUUUUAAAAUAUUAUGAACAAAUUUGGGUCCUUAAUUCCAUUCAUGUUGUGUAUGUGUUCAUGAAUCGGCCAAGGAAUUAAUAAGAUGAUGACAUAUAUUCUCAAGAGUUAAGAAUUUGAGACAUGUGUCAUUGGUGGUUAAUUCCUAAAUGCUCCCGAUCAAUGGAUCAUCACGGGGACGGUAAUUGAUCCGAUGAGAUUGGUGCAUAGGUCGCUUCCCUUUUUGGGUAGACGAGUCUCGAGUCGACAAUGUGGGGACACUAAAGCGAAUGUGCUGGUGGUUGUUAGAGAACAAGGGUACCGAGCGUGACCAACACGAAAAGUCACUUGGAUGUUUACUUACUCGUCAGUGACUUACUCAACGUUGCAAUAGUGUGACUGGUCCUUUGACCUGCAGUGUCUCGCCUAUUUACAAUGAGGUUUAGGGAUGCAAAUGGAUUCGGGUUGGUGGAGCUCCCGCCCCAACCCGCCCCGAAUGGGGUAGUAAACGGGGGGAAAUAAACGGAUUCGGGGCAGGAAACGGGGCAAUUUUUGUAAUCCGAGGCGGAUUCGGGGCAGGAAACGGUAAAAUUUUUGAUCCGCCUCGAAUCCGCCCCGAAUCUGCCUCGCCGCGAAUCCGCCUGAAUCCGCCCCGAAUCCGCCCCGAAAACCAUNUCUCAACACUCAGAACACUGAUACCAGCCAGCCAUCUCUAAAAAAAAAAAUCCCAAACGUUUAACUAUCGAUAUAUAUGUCUACCCACAAAGCAUUUAUAUAGUAAAAAGUCCCCAUUGAAUUUCUUCAAUUUUUACCAAAAGCCCCGCCUAAGCCCCGCCUCACAACCCCUCCAGAUCUCCACCUACCACCCUCCACGACCGGCCGCCGCCGCUGCCGCCGCCAUCGCCGCCCUUUCCCUCGCUUCCGCCGGCCGACACUGCCCUUUCCCUCCCCUCCGCCGGCCGACGCCACCCUUUCCCUCGCAUCCGCCGGCCGACACCGCCCUUUCCCUCGCCUCCGCGGCUCCGCUGGUCGCUGCCCUUUCCCUCGCCUCCGACGGCCGCCGCGCUUUUCCUCACCUCCAUCUCCUUCUUUGCCUCCGUCUAUAAGUACCAUACCCCCUUUUUUUAUUUCUUUUCCCUAUUUUUUUCUUCAUUUUUUAGCAACAUCUAAUAUUGUUGAUAAACAUCAAGUGCAUUGUUAGUGCAGAGGUUCAGGAGCGUUCCCAGGUUCCUCCAGGUACUACUCUCGUGUUAUUAAGGAAAAUAAAUUUGUACAAUUGUUUUAUUCUGCUGUUAUUUUUCUGACUUAAAAAGAGAUGCUUUAUUGCCCUCAUUAAUUGGGCUUAGGUCUGAUUAAAAGGAGGUAUGCUUGUCUUCCUAAUCCUGACACUGAUUGAGAGCAUUAGAGCAAUGUAUCCUGUAAUUUGUUUUUUUUUUUUAUUUACUUCUUUCAAUUUACUCUUGAGUACUCGCUGAUCUUAUAGAACUUGUGAUAUUGAGAGAUUUACUGUGAUUGUUACUUAUUCCAGCUGUCUCCUGUAGAGUGUAUGUGCUCUGUUAUUGUGAUUGAUAUUUUUAAUUUGUAUAGUUGUUAUUGUUAUUUAUAUAUAAUUUGAUAAUAUUAUCAAUUAAUAUUACAAAUUUUGUGGAUUUAUAUUUACAAAAUGUUAAUAAUAUUAAAAUUUAUAAAACAAAUACUAUUUGGCGGGGCGGAUUCGGGGCACCGUCGGGAGGCAGGGCAGACUUUUUGUAGUCGGGGCGGGAGGCGAGGCGGGGCUCCCGCCCCGAGAUCCGCCCCGUUUGCAUCCCUAAUGAGGUUAUUGUAGUUUGACUGUACAUACACUUGGUCCCUAGCCAUUCGGGUCCUUGCGGUGCAUGUUGGCUACAGUAGGUUCAUUGUAGGAAUAGAGUGCGCACUUAGAUGGAAUCUAUCUCUCUUAGUAGAUAGGGGUGUUAGUCCUAUGUGAUUUAUGAGACCGAGUUUAGAAGAUCUUGGCCAGGGCAGAGUUAAUAGCGGAAAAGGGUUUUCGAUAUUAGAAACUCGAGUCGAAUAAAUUUAACAUAUGACAGGCAAUGGGGUUUGACGAGUUAUUCCAUAACCUCCGUCUUGUCGGGACUCAUGAUAGAAGGAUUGUAUCACACGGUAACUGCACCAAGAGGUUCAGUAUUUCAUUCUACUGUAAUGCCACUACAUGCUGCUAGGCGUCACUGGUGGAUUGUGAGACUCAUGGGAUUAUCUAGAUGAUCGAUAAUUCUCAUUGGGCUGAGUUGGAAUUGUUUCGAUCCACUGAAAGGAGUUUCAGUUAUAUUGUUGAUAGUGAUCAAAAUAUAUCUCACUACCAGAUAGAAUAGAACCUAUGGGGUCACACACAUAAGAGGUUGUAAUUGAUCGGAUAGCUAGAUCGCGAUUAUUGAAUCGUCGGAAGACCUAAUUGUCAAUAUAUUGAUAAUUGGACUAAUUUGUAAUUAUUACAAAUUAGUGGUAUUAAGGUGUAAAUGUUACUAGAGAGGACUUACUAAUGGUUAGUAAAUUAUAAGAGGUCUUAUGUGCAAAUGUUGCGUUAUUAAUUUGAUAUGAUCAAAUUAAUAUAAAGUUCAAGUCGAAUCAAAUUAGGAUUUGAUCGAUUUAACCAAUUAAGGAAAUGAUAUAUUUAAAUCUAGAUUUGUACUUUUCUUUAAUGGUUAUUAUAUUAUUAAUAAGAGGAUUAUAUUCUUCCAUAUAAUAAUAUGGGAGUUUUUAGAAAACCCUAGCCGUUGUCUCUCUUCUCCUCUCUCUUCCAUAUUCUAGCAAAAAAGAUGACCUUUUGCAAGGGAGCUAGGAUCCCGGUGAGGACAUCAAUCAAAUCAAGAACCUCGUGUGGAUACCUAUAGAGGCCGGACGCGUGUGCAGCUUCAAGAGAACCCGAUUCCACGAUCAUCAAAUUGAGGUGAAGAUUUAUCCGCGAAAAAGGUAAAGAUUUGAUCUUGCUUUUCUCCUUUAAUCUUAAAGAACAUGAUUGCGUGGUUUUUGAGAUUGGAUCUCGAGAGUUUUCAAAAUCAAAUUUAUUUGAUUUCCUUUUCCGCUGCGUUUUUACCGUACGCAAUUUUUUAAUAGUGGUAUCAGAGUCAUCCUCAUGUUUUUAAGAUUAAAAUUAUGAAUUUGGGUAUUUUAAACCGUUCUUUGCCGGCUGAACAAUUUAUACAUCGUUUUCGGCUAAUUCGAAAAAUCCAAAGUUAUCAACAAUUUAAUCUAUUGUUUCCAAGCAAAAAAAAAAAAAAAAAAAAAAAAGAAAAAGAAAAAGAAAAAAGUUACUANCAAAAAAAAAAAAAAAGAAAAAAAAGAAAAAGAAAAAGAAAAAAGUUACUAUAGUGAUGUUGCCGUAGCAUCCGUACGUAUGCUACUGUAGCAUCCGUAUGGACGCAAAAUUUUUAUUUAUUUAUUUAUUUAUUUAUUUUUUAAAAGUUGAUUAGAUCGAUUUUAAAAUAAAAGAAAAAGGUGGAUCUAAUUUGAUUAGAUCAAAUUUAUAUCUUGAUGAGAUCAAGUUGUUAUUUUUAAGAUUAAGUUGUUGAUCAAAAUUAUAAACUAUCAAUAAGAUUGAUUGUUUUUAAUAAUUUAGUUAAUUAAUUUUUUGAAUCAUCAUUGAACGGUUAAUUAGAAUACCCAAAAUUAAUUAUUAUAUAUGUGAUGUAUGAGAUACAUAUCGGUGAUGAUCAUGGAUAAUGACCUAUUUAUUUUUGUUUCGACAUGUGAUGUAUGAUGUGUAUACAGAAUCCUGUAAUAUUAAAUUUGUUUAAAUUAAGAAAUUUGUAUUAGAGAUGGCUUUUUUGUGCCUGCGUGCAUAAGCUGAUUUAUUUGGAGACCUACGUGCCUCAAUAGGUGAGAGAUAAAAGUUAUCAAAUGUAAUUAAUUUUUAUUUUAUUUUUAUUGUUGGGUUGUAUAAUAUAUGGUUGGACGUCAUUGGUUGAUUGGUUGCAAGCCGAGAAGUACGCAAAGACUUAAUCGAGAUGAACACUUUAUGGCGGUCGGAUCAAGGUGUUGAUAAGGAUCGGAUCAAGUUGAAGCUCCAGAUCGAAUAAAGAAGUUGAAGACGAUCAAACCAAUGACGUGUGUGUGCUUGCAAUUUUUGACCCUAUGACCCCGAUUCCGACUCAGUGGCUCGUGUCCGAAUCCACUUCUAAGAUCCAUGAUCAUCACCAGUUUAAUUAUUUUUAUGCGCGGAUUAUUUUUAUUUACAUUAGAUGUAAAUAAAUAAAAUAUUUUUUUGAGACCUAAAUUUAAAUCUCCUCACAAAUAUUAAUUCGAGCAGUCUUCCGCCGUUGUAGAAGUGCGGGCGUUUUUCUGGUGUUGAUUGGCACGGCUGGUUACAGUAGUCAGUUGCAUCGGAAAGACGCAACCACUCUAUUAGCAUGAGAUGCUGCGGAGUAAAGAUGGAGUUGGACACAAUAACUGUCAGGUGAGGGACCCAAUGACGGCUUUGCUUACGCGUUUGAACGGUGGGUCUGACUUAACUAAGGAAUGGGACCAAUAACUGUUAGGUGAAGCCUACAGGACUUAGAGACCGAUCACUGCAAUUUGCUUGAGAAGUAUUGGACAAGAGUUGUACACUUAUCUAUUUGCAUAUCACCAAUAACUGUUAGGUGAUGUGGUACGUUAAACUAGUGGGACCGGAGUACCCACUUGAAAUCUUUUGUCGUGUUGGAUUUUCGUUUCUCUACCCGAGAAGUGUAAGAGACUCUAGAAAAUAGUGGGAAGCUAAAUUUGUUUUUAAAAUCCCUAAAGCAAAAUUUCAAAACAAAUACAAAUAUCUAACUUAAAUCUUUACUCUCUGCAAAGCUAAUGACUGCUUCCAAUUAUCUCUCUCGUAUUCUCGACACAAAACCCUUAACUGAAACUAAUUAUAAAAACUGGCUGAGGAACUUAAAAAUAGUUUUAAAUUUCAAUAAGCUCUGCAUUGUUUUCGACCAGGUAAACCUCACGUUGCCAAACCGUCCAAUCACUAACCGAAAGGCAGUCCGUUCAUGAUCAUUGUUUGACAAUGAUCAUAAACCUCGAGGAGCUUGAGAAGUUCGGCGUGAAAAUGGCAAGGAAUUGCAAGUUGAUCUGAUCCUGCAAUCCCUUUCUGUAUCAUAUGGACAGUUUAUUGUAAACGACCAUAUGAAUAAAAUUGACUGCACUAAUGCAGAGUUAUUGAACAUGUUGGUAAUAAUAUAUGGGACUUUGAAAAAUUUAAAACGCACGGUUCUCGUAGUGGAGCAAGCUUCCUGAGGCCGGACGCAUGUGCGGCUUCAAGAGAACCCGAUUCCACGAUCAUCAAAUUGAGGCGAAGAUUUAUCCGCGAAAAAGGUGAAGAUUCGAUCUUGCUUUUCUCCUUUAAUCUUAAAGAAUAUGAGGGAUCAUAAUUGCGUGGUUUUUGAGAUUGGAUCUCGAGAGUUUUCAAAAUCAAAUUUAUUUGAUUUCCUUUUCCGCUGCGUUUUUACCGUACGCAAUUUUCUAACAGUCGUAACAAUCCUGUUUGGACGGUGCUUUAGGACCGGCCGCCUCAGUGGUGGUGUGCGGUAUAGCUCGGUGCUUUAGGACCGACCACCUCAGUGGUGGUGUGCGGUAUAGCUCGGAUGCAGGCGGGACAGGUUGGCAGUCCCUUGACAGUAUAGUCGUUGUUGCAGGGGACGCAUAUCUACAGAUAGUUAGAGUUGGUUAAUGAUAGUAUAGUGGCAUAUAGCUGUAAAGUUUUACUAGCUUCUUUUACUAUCCUUCUGCAUACUUUCUGUAGGCUUAGUGGGUGAGCCGUUGAGGUCGAUAGCGGUACCCACUGAGAACUACUUCUUCUUGCAGUAGUUCCCACAUCCAGUUGUUUACCCCUUUUUGCAGAGCUUUCUUCUGCGGCUGCUGCUGUCGCCGAUACUGAUCGUGGAAAGGGGGUUGCGAGCUAGAUCCCUUCCCUGGUUGCAGUACUAGAGAAGUACCAGCUGCAGGUAGUUUUGGUUUCUGGUUCAUGUACAUACUUAUGUUGUUACUCACUGGAGCGAGAGAUGUUGCAUCAGGGAGACUUUGUAUGUAUAGUGAACUUCAUGUUUAUUUAUAUGCAAUUCAGUUUAGCAGCUCUAUACUACUAGUUGUAGUUUUGUAUGAUUAUAGAUACAGGUACAGCUAUCGCUUCGUAUCCAGAGAAAAUUCUUUUGUAUACAGCAGGUCUGUUGGCAUGCCGGGAAAAAUGUGGUAAUCUGGGGCAUGACAUAUUAAGUUGGUAUCAGAGCUUAGUAUUAAGUCGUUGGGACCUAGAAAACUUUAAGUUUGGCAAACUUUAGGAAGGCAAGAUGCGAGAGGCAUGAUUUAUCACGAAAGUCAGCGAUUGAAUUGUUUUAACUCCUCCUAGAGUGGAGUGAAUGACUGAAGGAGUGUUUAUUUCGGCCAAGAAAAUUAUGUCGGCUGCAGACGGCAUAAUGUUUAGGAGAAACAUAGGUGGCAUUCUAGACUUUUGCUUGAUUGGGUCGAGAGUUGAUUGUGUUUUGUAUCUGACUUUUGUUUUGAUUUCAGAUAGCCAUGUUUCGACGCCGAGGUUGACCGCCGACGCGGGAUCGUGUCGCACCAUCAGAGAUGCCUUAGCAGGCAGGGCCGUGUGCACCCCCUAAUCUGAGAAAGCAGUUGGCUGCUUUGACUGAGGCGACGAGGCAGCAGGGGGCACUGUUACAGAGGAUGUGUGAGACAUUUACUCCACCGCCAAGCGCAGUGCCUAGAGCACGAGAGCAGUCAGCACUACCACUGACUAUUCCCGUGGCUGCACCAGCCACAGUUGUACCCCCACCAGUGACAAUUCCUUCGGUGCCAGUUGCAUUCUCUCGAGAGGUUGAGCAGAAGCGGAUGACUGAUAGGCUUGCUCAUUUUCGUCGGUUUGAUCCGCCGCGCUUUGACGGCAGCUGUACGGAGCCCUGGGUUGUAGAGGGCUGGGUGAGCGCGAUGGAGAAGUUAUUUGAGGAUUUGUUUAUACGGGAGCGGGAACAGAUACAUCUGGGAGUGCAUUGUUUGGCUGGCGAUGCGCAUUCUUGGUGGAGGAGGAUAAGGGAUACUCAACAGUUAGUAGCGUUGCAGAUGAAGUGGGAUGAGUUCUGCGGAAUAUUGUACGGGGCGUAUUUCCCAAACAGCGUGAAGCAGAAGCUCGAAGAGGACUUGAAGAAGCUACAGCAGGGGGAGCGAUCAGUUCAGGAGUGUACCCGUGAGUUUACAUGACUUCUGAACUGUGUGUCAUUUGUAGCUAGGGAUGAGGCCCACAAGGUAUAUCUGUAUGAGGGAGGUUUGAGGCCAGAGAUUUUUUGAUUGGUACAUGCGCAGAGAUUGAAGACCUUGGAUGCGUCGAUUGAGCAGGCAUUGUAGGUGGAGAGAAGUGAUGUAUCGAUCCGUGAGCGGGCCCAGGUGCCAUGGCAGAGUUAGGACAGGAAGCGCUCGGUUCCAGAUGACGGAGGGUAGUCGAGCAGCAGGCGUCCACCGAGGCCUGCACGAUCAUAUUCUCAGGGUUGUAGGUCUUCGGGACCACAGCGGUCUGAGGGAUCCCGUCAGCAGUAUAGGAUUCCAUGGUGCAUCAUUUGUGGGGGACCACACUGGCCCCGACAAUGUGAGCAGAGAGAGUGUACACAGCUCAGGUAGAGGCUCUACAGCAGCGACCGGGUGGUGGCAAGUGUUAUUUUGAUUUCUGGUAUUAGAGCUCUUGAUAUCGGCGCAUCACAUUCUUUUGUUAGCCGAGCAUUUGCAUUAUUGUAUGGUUUAGAGAUAGGGCUGUUGUUGCAUGCAUGAAAGCUGUAGAUUUCCGACCAUGUUUUGUAGGUAGCAGAGUGUUGUUGGUCGUGUCCGGUGCAGUUGGGCUCCUAGAUUAUGCCCUAGACCUGUUGGUCUUAGGAUAGCUGCAGGACUUUGAUGUUGUGCUUGGUAUGGAAUGGCUGGCGCGAUACUAUACUACGAUCGACUAUGGAGCGAGAAAAGUGACGUUCCGCGAGCCAGGCCAGGAGGAGUUCACGUACAGGGGCUGCAGGAGUACGUUGUUUGCCACUUGGAUUUCGUCGGCGAUGGCUAGACAGUUGAUAAGUAGAAGAUGCACUGCUUUUCUGGCGACGGUUGUAGAGGUGCCUACGGCGGCAACGGGACUCGAGGAUAUCUCUAUAGUUCGCGAGUUUCUAGAUAUUUUUUCCUCGGAGUUGACGACUUUGCCGCCGGAUAGAGAGAUCGAGUUUGUGAUAGGAACUACGUCAAUCUCGAAGGCACCUUACCGAAUGGCACUGGCAGAGCUAAGAGAGCUGAAGGCGCAGCUUCAGGAUCUGAUGGAUAAGGGGUAUGUGAGACCCAGUGUAUCGCCUUGAGGAGCGCCGAUGUUAUUCGUGAAGAAGAAGGAUAGUUCACUUAGACUGUGUAUGGAUUAUUGGGAGCUGAAUAAAGUGACCAUCAAGAACAAGUAUCCUUUGCCGCGCAUUGAUGAUCUGUUUGAUCAGCUGCAAGGAUCUUGUAUCUUUUCGAAGAUUGAUCUCCAGUCAGGUUACCAUCAGUUGAGGGUGAGGGCCGAGGAUGUUCCCAAGACGAUUUUUCGGACUCGGUAUGGGCAUUAUGAGUUCACUGUGAUGCCUUUUGGAUUGACGAAUGCCCCUGCCACUUUUAUGGAUUUGAUGAAUAGAGUGUUCAAACCGUAUUUGGAUAGAUUCGUGGUUGUAUUCAUUGAUGAUUUUGAUAUAUUUUCGGAGUGAUGUUGAGCAUGAGGAGCACUUGAGGAUAGUGUUACAGCUUCUGAGGGAGAAGAAGUUGUAAGCUAAAUUGAAGAAAUGCGAGUUUUGGCUACGGGAGGUUUCUUUCUUGGGCCAUGUGAUUUCUACAGUUGGAGUAGCAUUGAACCCGAAAAAGAUUGAUACUAUUCGGGAUUGGCCCAGACCGACGACAGUUACUGAGGUGAGGAGUUUCCUUGGACUGGCAAGCUGUUACCCUCGGUUUGUGGAAGGCUUUGAGAAGCAUUCCACACCCCUCACUCGAUUGACUCGAAAGAGAAUUAAGUUUAUCUGGAGUGAGGAUUGUUAGAGGAGAUUCGAUGAGUUGAGACAGAGGCUGAUGUCAGCUCCUAUCCUUGCCCUCCCAGUGAUGGGGGAAGGAUUUGUGAUUUACAGUGAUGCAUCGCAUAGUAGUUUGGAUUGUGUGCUGAUGCAGCAUGGUAGGGUAAUUGCUUAUGCUUUUCGGCAACUGAAGGAUCAUCAAUUAAAGAUCAGGCCAAAGGAUGUGCACAAAACGGCGUACCGUACGCGGUAUGGCCAUUAUGAGUUCACGGUAAUGCCGUUUGGGCUUACUAACGCCCCGGCAGCAUUUAUGGACUUGAUGAAUCGAGUCUUUAGGCCGUUGUUGGAUCGAUGCGUCGUAGUGUUUAUAGACGACGUGUUGGUUUACUCAAAGAGUGAAGAGGAACAUGAAGAGCAUCUGAGAGCUGUGUUGCAAAUACUCAGACAAGAGAAGCUCUAUGCAAAGUUAAAGAAGUGUGACUUUUGGCUAAAGGAGGUCACAUUUUUGGGCCAUAUGGUGUCGGGCGAUGGAGUGUCGGUAGACCCGAAGAAAGUUGAGGCAAUAAAGGAUUGGCCUCGCCCGACGAAUGUAGCGAAGAUCCGCAGUUUUUUUGGACUGGCGGGCUACUAUCGGUGGUUCGUGGAGGGGUUCGCCAAAAUAACCACUCCACUAACGCGCCUCACGCAUAAAGGAGUAAAGUAUGUUUGGAGCGACGAUUGCGAUCGGAGCUUCGAGGAGUUAAAGAACCGGUUGACGUCGACCCCGGUGCUUGCCUUGCCAACUCCGGGAGAGACCUUUGUAGUGUACAGUGAUGCCUCGUAUGUUGGUCUCGGGUGUGUAUUAAUGCAGAAUGGGCGGGUCAUUGCUUAUGCAUCGCGCCAGUUAAAGAGUUAUGAGAAGAACUACCCGAUUCACGACCUCGAGUUAGCCGCGGUGAUCUUCGCACUAAAGCUUUGGAGGCAUUACUUGUAUGGUGAACAUUGUGAAGUAUAUACCGAUCACAAGAGUCUAAAGUACCUGUUCACCCAGAAAGAGUUGAACAUGCGACAGCGGCGGUGGUUAGAGUUGCUAAAGGACUAUGAUGUCACCAUACUAUACCACCCCGGAAAAGCUAAUGUCGUGGCCGAUGCUCUAAGUAGAAAAUCGGCGAAGAACUUAGCGACGGCAAUUACGCCUCAACCGCUAUUGCAAAAGGAGAUGCAGCGAUUCGGGUUGGAAGUAGUAGCGCCGGGAGUGCCGGCUACACUUGCCGCAUUAAUUGUGCAACCGACCCUAUUGGAAAGAAUCAAGGAUCUUCAAGCCUCGGAUCCUUAUCUUCAAAAGAUACGAGGGGAAGUUGGGAAUGGCAAUGCCAAAGACUUUGGCAUUGGAGCUGAUGGCGCACUUCGAUUUCGAAAUCGUUGGUGCGUGCCCAAGGAUGAUGAGUUACGAAGGGCGAUCAUGCAAGAAGCGCAUCAAUCUCCCUAUAGCAUACACCCCGGCGGCACAAAAAUGUACAAACACCUGAAGGACCAUUACUGGUGGCCGGGUAUGAAAAGAGAUAUUGGGGAGUUUGUGGCGCAAUGUUUAACGUGCCAACAAGUGAAAGCCGAGCGCCGAUUUCCGGCGGGAAAGCUACAAAGUCUACCAAUACCCGUUUGGAAAUGGGAAGAUAUAGCGAUGGACUUUGUUACCGGUUUGCCUCGAUCACAAGGCGUACACGAUGCGAUAUGGGUGAUAGUGGAUCGAUUGACAAAGUCGGCACACUUCUUGCCGAUACAUACUACGUGGUCGGGAGACAAGUUGGCUCAAGUAUAUCUCGACGAGGUUGUGAGACUUCAUGGGGUUCCAGUGUCGAUCGUGUCGGAUCGCGACCCAAGGUUCACGUCCCACUUUUGGAAGAGUUUAGAAGACGCGCUAGGCACACGGCUCGACUUCAGUACAGCGUUUCAUCCUCGUGUAUUCUUGAGAGUAUCGCCGAUGCGAGGAGUCAAACGAUUUGGGGUCCGUGGGAAGCUAAGUCCCCGUUAUGUCGGACCGUUUGAGAUAUUAGAACAUGUGGGUGCGGUGGCAUACAAGCUCGCACUACCACCGAGACUCGCGGGAGUUCACAACGUGUUUCAUGUGUCCAAUCUCCGAAAGUAUAUUCGCAACUCGACGCAUGUAUUGGAGUACGAGCCCGUGGAGCUACGAGAAGACAUGUCCUACGAGGAGUACCCGGUGUGCAUCCUCGAUCGAGAGGUGAAGAAGUUGCGAAGUCGCAAGAUUCCGUAUAUAAAAGUCCAAUGGAGCAACCACGCGGCGCGAGAAACCACUUGGGAGCUCGAGGAAACCAUGCGAUGAGAAUAUCCGCAUCUGUUUGAGUCGACGAGUUAAGGUAUGCGUAAUUUUGCGGACGAAAUUAUUUUAAGGGGUAGAGAAUGUAAUAUACCGGAAAUUCGGAACAUAAAUGUCGAACUUUAGUCAAACUGACCAAAGUGCGAGGAUGGUACACUUCGGAAAGUCCGAAGGUGUUAAAACGAUUAAAAGCGAGUUACGGGAGGUUUUUCGAGAGCUAUAGAAUCAAAAUCUGCAUUCAGCAGUCUUGAGCUCUCGGGGACCGGUCCCUGGUGGGAGAGACCGGUCCCCGAACGCGUAUGAAAUGAGACAGCCGAAAAAUCGGCUAAGUCCUGAGGAAUUAGCUCUCGGGAACCGGUCCCUGCCUGAGAGACCGGUCCCCGAGAGACCGGUCCCCUCAAAGAGAGACCGGUCGCAUUGCGCGCAGCAGCUCUGGCUGCGCUGGGAGAGCUCUCGGAGACCGGUCCCUAGUCGGGGAGACCGGUCCCCGAGCCCGAAAUCUGCCCAGUCCAGGUAGUUGAAUAAGAUGAAAGUUGAGGGGUUUAUUUGCAUUUUUGCAACCCAUGGAUUAUGUAGAGGGCUGAGAGAGCCUUUUCUCUCAUUCUCUCCCUCACACACACUCUUCUCUCCCUCUCUCUCUCUCUAGAAGGCAAAGGAGAAGAAGAAGAAAGAAAGAAAGGAAGGAAAAGAAGGAAAAGAAGGUGAAGAAGAAGAUCAAGAGGUGAAGCAACUUCAUCUUCUUCCUCUCUAGUGCAAGAAAGGAAAGCUUAUAAGGUGAGCUUUGAACCCUAUUGUAGUAAAACCCUAAAAUGGGCUUUGAAUAAACCUAGAAAUGGUUUUAAUGGAUUGUUUAGAGUCUUUGAAGCUUUUCUUUUGCUUUUUUAGAGAUCAAAACCAAGAAAUGGGGUAAUGAGUAAAGCUUGAAGGUGAGCUUGACCCCUCACAUGGUAGAAUCCAAACUAAGGUUUGGAUUGAAUUAAAGAUGGUUUAGAUGGACUCUUUAGAGUAGAAUGAAGCUACUUUUGCUUCUCUUUGAGAUCAAACCCUAGGUUUGAUGAAUGCUAUGGAGUUAGGGCACCAAAUUGGGGCUUUUGCUCAUGGGGAUUUCUAAGUGCAAUUGACCCUCUAGAAACCUAAUUGGGGGUAUUUCCGACGCGUUGGUGCACUCGGAUCAACGUUACGAAAAGUCUAUAGAAAGAUAUGGGCAAAAUGGCCUAAGUUGGCUUCGUUUUGCCGCAGGUGAAGAACGAGGAGCCUGUAAAUCUCAAGAAAAUCGUCGGAGCACCUAAAUAGACCUACGAGGUGGGUGGUGUUUCUCAAACUCAUUGAACUUCUCUCUAUGCCUAAUGUGUCAUUCAUUUGAGCAUGUAUAUACAUUGUUAUAUGCAUUUUAGGGUAAAGUAAUGAUGAGAAUGUAAUAAUGCGUGAUUGUGAGUACAACUUGCAUAAUAUGAUGAAUGAGAACAAUAUAAACGUCGAAAACCCUAGGUGCAUGCAUGAGAGAAAAGUGAGAACCCAAAGUGAGCAAAAGAACCGGGUGGCACAAUGACAUAGAUCGAGUGGCAUUUGAAAAUGUAAAAUAAAGUGACACUAGAGUUAGUGUGAGCCAAAGAACCAAAGUGAUGUAAAGAAUGAUGAAAAUGACAAUGUGUAAAGUUAAAGUAAAAUGGGGCAAUAAGAACAAGAAAUGUAAAGAAUAAGAAUGCUAAAGAUAGCAAAAGUAAGAGAAAAGUAAAGAACAACGAUUGCUAGAGUGGCAACAUAAAGUGAAAUAAAGAACACUAGAGUUAGUGUAAAGUCAAGAUUGAACUUAUAAAUCCUUUGAGUUAAGGAUAUGAUCAUACUUGCUAUGAGUUCCGUGCUCGAGGGCGGUCGCUCCCCCUCGGGCGAUGCGCUCCGGAGUUAUGCAUCCGGGUUGGAGUAGACCCGUAAGGACGGUCCUAGCGGGUGAGUUCCUGCGAUGAUGGACUUAAUGUGAAGCAAGUUAAUGUGGCGAAACCCCCGGGUUAGCCCUGAGAUUAAAGAACAAAGAGCAAAGAACAAAGUACAAAGAACAAGAACAAAGAGUAAUGUGAAAAGAAUAAAGAACAUGCAUAACCUGCAUUUAUUUAAUGUUGAGCAUAUUUCUUGCUAUUUGUUCAGGCAUAUUAGCAUCAUGUUAUAGAUUGGUUACUAUAUCCUGCUUAUCCUUUCUAUUAUGCCUGAGUUAGUCCUAGUGGGAAAGUCGGUGAUGUUGAGGCCGAACCCACUGGGAACUUUGUUGUAGUUCUCACCUCACUAUUUCCACAGAGCCGGGACCGAGCGAGCCGGCGAGCGACCGAGGUAAAGGUAUCGCGCCUUAGUCAGAGGCCACCAAAGUUGGGUUUCAUUUUGUAGUAAAGUACCCUAUGAUCAUCUUUUGUACAUGAUGGUAAAUGAUGUAAAGAAAAGAAUGUAAUGUGUAUUUUGAGGUAAAUGUGAUGUAAGAAAGAAAUGAUGAAAUGAAAUGUAAGGAAUUCGAAAAUGAACAAGAUGAAUGCAAUGUAUAUGAUCAAAAAUGAAUCAUAGUACAAGUGAAUGUUUAGUUUCCUUUUUCUUUCACUAAUGGCUAUUGCUUACCCUCGUGUAAGCCGUUUGUGUAUGUUUCCGCUAGUGCUUUUCUCUAUUGAUGAAAAUGUACAUGUGAUGAGCCUUGGGCGGAUAGGGGAAACCCUGUCCGUUCGGCGUCUGUUUGACGUGCUCGGGUCGGGCCAAAUUGGCAUCGGUCUCGGGGCGUGACAGACCACCUCAGUGGUGGUGUGCGGUAUAGCUCGGUGCUUUAGGACCGGCCACCUCAGUGGUGGUGAGUGAUAUAACUCAGACGUAGGCGGGACGGGUUGGCAGUCCCUUGACAGUAUUGUCGUUGUUAUAGGGGACGCAUAUCUAUAGAUAGUUAGAGUUGGUUAGUGAUAGUAUAGUGGCAUAUAGCUGUAGAGUUUUACCAGCUUCCUUUACUAUCCUUCUGCAUACUUUCUGUAGACUUAGUGGGUGAGCCGUUGAGGUCGGUAGCGGUACCCACUGAGAACUACUUCUUCUUGCAGUAGUUCUCACACCUAGUUGUUGACCCCUUUUUGCAGAGCCUUCUUCUGCAGCUGCUGCUGUCGUCAAUACUGAUCGUGGAAAGGGGGUUGCGAGCUAGAUCCCUUCCCUGGUUGCAGUACUAGAGACGUACCAGCUACAUGUAGUUUUGGUUUCUGGUUCAUGUACAUACUUAUGCUGUUACUCGCUGGAGCGAGAGAUGUUGCAUCAGGGAGACUUUGUAUGUAUGGUGAACCUCAUGUUUAUUUAUAUACAGUUCAAUUUAGCAACUCUAUACUACUAGUUGUAGUUUUUUAUGAUUAUAGAUACAGGUACAGCUAUCGCUUCGUAUACAGAGAAAAUUCUUUUGUAUACCUCUGUUGGCGUGCUCGGGAAAACGUGGUAAUCCGGGGCAUGACAGAUUAAGUUGGUAUCAAAGCUUAAUAUUAGGUCAUUGGGACCUAGAAAACUUUAAGCUUGGCAAACCUUAGGAAGGCAAGACGCAACAGGCGUGAUUUAUCGCGAAAGUUAGCGAUUUAAAUUUAAAAUUCGAGUUCAAAAUCAUAAUCACGUUUUAAGAAACAAUUUUAUUUACUUCUGAUUUUCCGUAACUAAAAUCAAAAAACUGAUUCUAAAAAUCAAUAUUAGACUAAAAAAAAAACGUUAUGAAACACCCUAUUGAAGGAAUUCCAACUUUUAUAUUUAAUCUAAUAUAAUAUAAGUUUGUAUGAUAUAAAAUUAUUUUUUAUAUAAUAUUAUCAAUAACAAAAAUAGAAUAUAUAUUAUAUAUAUAACCUUUGGGAUGCCGGCUAUAAUUCUAUCAAUAGCACUAAGCACUUGGUGCUACCAAGUUUUAUGCCGUUAGAUCUAUCCUUUUGACCAUUUUCACCCUUUAGAUCAUACUAUUCCACUAAUCACCAACUAAAUCCUUAGAGAGCUUUUGGUUCAGGAACAAGGGGGGGAAUAAGUCCUUCUUCCCUCUAUUUCUAAACGCUACGUUUCGUACCCGAGAUCAGUAGUUCUCGAAUUUCUGGAAUAAGUCGGUAUAAGGAUGGAACUGCUUUUCCACUAUUUCCUUAGAACAAACUUGUUCCCAGGUGAGAAUAAGAUUAAUUAAAGUCUAAAAAUAAUUUUAAUUAUGUUAUUAAAUAAUUAAAUAAUUUAAUUAAUAUAUUUAAAAUUUUAUUUAUUGCGUAAAUAAUAAAAUAAUGUAUUAAUUUAUUAUUUAUAAUUAUUAAUUAAACUAUUUAUUAUUUAUAAUUAUCAAUAAUUACUUUAUUUAUUUAUUUUCUAAUUUAUAAUUAAUUAAUUUUUAAUUAUUUUAUUAAUUUAUAAUUAACUAAUUUAUCUUUAAUUUAUUCUUAAUUAAUUAAUUAAUUAUGAAUUAAUUACUUAAUUUACUAUUAAUAAUUAAUUAUUUUUUAUUUUUUAUUUUUUAUUUUUUAUUUUUUUUAUUUUUUACAAUUAUUAAUAAUUAUUUAAUUAAUUAAUUUAAUAUUAAUAAAUUAAUUUGUAAUUUAUAAUUAUUAAUAAUUUAUUAUUAUUAAUUAUUUAAUUUGUUCUUAAUUAAUGUAUUAUUAUUUAUAAUUAUUAAUUAUUAAUUAGCAAUUUUAUUAUUAAUUAUUUAUUUAUUUAUUUAUAAUUAUAAAUAAUAUAUUAUUUAUAAUUUAUUAUUAAUUAAUAAUUUAUUAUUUAUGAUUAUUUUAUUUAUUUAUUCAUUUAUUUAUAAUUUAUAAUUAUUAAUAAUUUAUUAUUUAUGAUUAUUUAUAAUUUAUUAGUUAAUUUAUUAUUUAUGAUUAUUUAUUAUUUAUUAGUUAAUUUAUUAUUAUUUAGUUAAUUUAUUACUUAUAAUUAUUAUUAUUAUUAAGUAAUAUUUUGAUGUUAAUUUAUUAGAUAAAAAUAAUUUUAAUUUAAAAUUAUAACUCUUAUUCCCUUUGUUCCAAUCUAACCAUCCAAACACUACUAUUUAUCUUAGUCCUAGGAACAACCCAAUUUUCAUCCAAACAAAAAAUUGGUCUAGUUCCUGCUUAUACCUAAACUUUUACCUAUCCCUGGAAUAAGCAGUUCUUACUUAUACCCGAACCAAACGCAGUUUAAGCUAACUGCUUAUCCUUUCAUCUAAGAGCCGAAAUGUAGUACACUGAACUUUAACAAAUUGUAAGGUUCCAGUGUAAAAUUAGUAACUAGAACUAUUUUAGUGGUUUUGAGAGUUGUCGGGAGGGUACCGACAUUUAACUUAAGAUUUAUAAGUGCGAGAAUGGGUUACUAAUACUAAAAUCUGCAAACUGCAGGUUUCGAAUGUUGAGUACCAGUACCUGAGUGGGGUACCGAUACCCCAGAGGGUUGCCAGAAUGGGUAGCUCUCGGGUUUGAAAGGUUAAUGCCAACUACCGGUACCGAGUCGGUGAGUACCGGUACUGCAUUAAGUAAGUAUACCGGUACAAUGCACUAAACCCAACUGUCCCGCGCUCGGGUUUGGCAUGUUUGAGUGCCGGGUACCAAUACCUCAACCCGAGUACCAGUACUCAAUGCGGCAGAUUGAGUUGUUGAGGGGUCUUUCGGCAAUUUUACAACAAUGGUUAUCCAUAUUAAUCCCCCAAACCGACCCUCAACUAGUUUUCUCAUGCUAGGAGCAGAGAAAGCUCAGGGUAAGCUCUUCUCUUUCUCUCUCUAGAUUCCAUUCCAAUUCUUGGUGGAAAUUGAUGGAAUUGAGCUCUUUCUUUUCUCCUCUCCAUGGUAGCUGGGCUUGAGGUCUUUGGAGGAGCUGUAGAAGUGAAUGAGGAGAUAUUUCUGAGAAUAACUUCAAUCCUAGCUCAAGGGUAAGCUUGGCUUGGAGCUUUGAAAAGUUAGCUUCUUAAUUGCUACCUUGUAUAUGGUUUUGGUUGAUUUGGAGUUUAGUUAUGGAUUAGCUCUUAGCUGAGUUGUAGAACUUAUUUGGCUAAGUAUAUAACUCUCUUCUAUGUUGGAAUUGAAGUGCCCAACCUGAAGUGGAGUGUGGAUUAGAGUUUUGCUCUAUACAAGGUAGGUUUCUACCUAUCUUAGGUGCAUUUUUGAGGAUUUUGGUAGGAGGCUUAGUAAAAGCUCCUAAUUAAUUUAGAAUUGUUAUUAGGGAGCUUGAAGGCUAGAGGCAUCUUCAUUCAAGCAAUUGAAGGGAUUCUACGAGUAUUCGGUGGGUUUGACCUCACCGAAAUAGGUGAACUCUCCCUAUGUUCUUGUUAUUGUUAUGAAAUUGAAAAUCAUGCAUACUUGUAUUAGUAGCAUUAUAAAGAAAUUGUUGAGUGUAUUAGAUAUACAUAUACCAUGUGGCAAAGUCAUGUCUCUAUGUAGUAGAGAGUAUUAUGCAUUAAAUUCAUGAAGCAUACAUGAUAUGGUAUUUAGUAUGCUUGUGUAGACAAGUUAAAAUGAGCAUUUGUAUGAUAGAACUAGCAUGAACUUCAUGUUAUUGUGUAUAACUUAGUUAAAUAACUCCGACCUAUGGGUCGUUAGAGAACAUACCAUGUUUUAGACAUGAUGAUUGAGAGCUUUGUUCUAUAGAUCAUACUUGCUGGCCAUUGUAUUCAUUCGCACAUACUUGUGAGGAUCGCUCCCCACAAGCCGACACUCCGGAGUUGGCCUACGCUACAUCAUGCUCGCCCGUGCGGGAUUGGGGCCGAAGUGGAUUGCUGUGGGGAGUGUAUACUGCCACGGGGCCAUUAGGCACGGCGCAAACCGAAUUACACUUGUGUAGGUCCUUAUAAAUUGGGUAAUGAUAACUAAACAUGUUAAUUAAAUUGUCAUUACUAGAUAGUAUACAUUAGUAGACAUAACAUUUACAUGCUUACUCAUAGUAGAGUAGUUUUUAUACUUGUUGAGUAUUAUAUGCAUUGGAGGCAUAGGUAGUAUUAGCAAUUCAUUACUUGUUAAAUGUUCAUAUCAGGUUAUAGUUAUACAUGAUUACUAUGUAUGCCUCAGGAACCUAGUGGUAUAAUUCGCUAAUGUCGACGGCUUACCCACUGGAAACUAUUGACUAAUAGUUCUCAUGCCCAGUUUGUUGUUAUUUUUGUUUACAGAGUCAUCCACAGCGAUCGUGGCAAGGGAAUCGCGUCUAGGUAGGCAUAGCUUAGAAUUCCUGUUAGGUGGUUAUCUUUCGUUUUGCUUGUUGGAGAGGUGUCUUAUGUUGGAUGUAUAGUGACCACCCGUGUUGUUGGUUGAUUGCUUUGUAGCUACUUGAUGUAUAUUUGUAUUUUGGGAGUUGUAUAUGUUAGUAUUUUUCUUUCCUUUCUACUUGCUUUACAGAGUAGUAUUUGUCAUAUGCUCUGAUAUCAUGUUAGUUGUUUCUAUUUCUUGGUGUUAUUUCUACCAUGUUCAUUGUAGACGCCUUGUAUAUUCUGAGUAUAUGGCGGGUUUGUGCACGUAUCGGGUAGGCUUUCGCUGGGGCCCGGGCGUGACACGAAAAUCUAAUAGCACCAAUGACUUAGUGCUAUUAAUAGUACUCUAGAAUAGUUCAAAUCUAUGAUAUUGUAUUGUUUUGCAUAAAAAAUCCACUUAAUAGAAAGGAAAAUGCUACUUGUACACCCCAAAAAAGUUGAUGUGAUAAGUAGAGUACUAAUGGCCUUGGGUUAGAGUGGGUGUAAGAUGUACACCCCACUUUGAGGCGUAAUGGUAGCAUUACUCUAAUGCAAAUAGGGACCACUACUUUGAAUUUUAUAAAUUCAGUCAGAAUUUUUAAUAAAUUGAUCAAAAUACCCUUAAUUCUUUCUCUCAGUCUCUUUUUUUCCUCUUGUUUUGUAGAACCCAUGGUUGUAAUUAUAAGAACUAAUGAUUUGAAAAAAAAUUAUGUAAAUGUCACUCUCCGUGAGUUUUAAUAUGAUCCAUUGUAUUGAUUCAAAAGUAAUUAGGACCUAUGAGAAGUUUACGGAAGUAUAAAUGGGUCCGAAACUGCAAAUUUAAAAAGAGGGCUAAACCAAAAUUUUCUUCAUAGGUCUGGCUCAAUAUGACAUUUUAUAUGAAUAUUUCAAAGUUUUGAAAAAUAAAACAUGCAGCACUAAAGUAUACUUGAAAACGAACGAUAGCAGCUAAGUUCACCGAAAACGGAAUUUCAGAUAAAAAGUUAUGGGAUCUUGAAUCUGAAACACACGUGCUAUUUUCUGCAAUAAACUCACCACGUCAAGUUCAAAAUGUAAUUUCUACAAAAUAUCCAAAAGAAUUCAACAAUUAAUAACACUAUACAAUCUACAUUCAGAUAUGAACGCGCUAAAGCAAGUUUUGUUGAAAUUGGAUGUUCGCUUGCAAAACUAUAGUAUCUUGAAGUCAGCCUCCACAUGCAGUCUCAAGGACUACAACAGAAACUCAAUUUUAUCAAGGGUUUUCACACAAUUUGUCAUCGAGAAAGGGCUAGAUUUUGUAAUACCAUGACGGAGGACUUGACCGCGGAUCAUCGUGCAAUUGUUGUAGCGCUAAUCACAAAAAAAGCGUGAUGGACAACCCUAGCUGUCAAUGAAACCCGAAUCCUAGGCCAUCUCGUUACGAUCUCGCUCUCCGCCUUCUUUUCCCGAUCUCCCUUCUUCUUUCUUGUCGCAACCAUAGCCAUCCAUGCCGUGAACCUCCCCUCUUCACUGCCAGCCAACUCUCCCUAGUCGUGCUUCGGUGAUUUGGCGUGUAAACUUCUCCCAUGCGGCUGCUAUACCUUCCAAAAUUGCACUGUAGCCUUGGCUGUGACCACAAUCGGAUCCUAGCCGUUCAUGGGCCUUGCCGCAGCCUUUCUUGACUUAUUAGGGUAAGCCUCGACAUCCUCACUCCCCCUCGAUCGAUCCCUGCGGCGGUACAAUCGUCGGAGACACUGUUGGUUAGAUCCAAUCAAAGUCCUUACCGCUGUUUCCUGCACUAAACAACAGACUUCUCUAGGCCGACACUUCCAAUCUCAAUCUUCCAGUGCCGCCCUAACCAUUUUCUGGUGAGCACAGUAAGAAAACUACUACGGCAACUAGAUCUAGGUUUCCUUGUCACUGUCAGUCAUUGUUGAUGUCCCGAAGCGUAAGAAUGGCGACGAGCGUAAGAAUUGUGACCAACACUGCGUCUCCAUCCUAACUACACUAUUUUUGGGUUUUCUGAACAUAGAAAACAUUAGUAAUGCCCUAAACUCCAUCCUUUCAUUGUAAAACCACAUUAAUCAUAAUUGUCGGUGUUGUCGGCGGGUUGCGGUGGACCGAUCGUUGUUGGAUCUGUCGGAAUGCUUAACAACCCUCUUGCUGGUCAGAGAUUGAUGUUCGGAAUGACUAAAAUAGGGAUGUCACGCCGUGCGACCAACCGCCAAUUUGGACCGGGUCGCGGUGCCGACGACAGACCGCCGAACAGACCGGGGUUUUCCCUGUACGCGGACAGAGUCUCCCCUGUACGUUCUAGGCGUCGCAAUCCAAACAAUGUACAUUACAAUGGUUCCAACCAGGAACAGAUAUCAAUCAUGAUUGCGUAAGGAAAGUAUCACAACAUAACACAUCCUAUGUUAUUACAUACAUUCACAUUAGAUUCAUUUAUUUACAUCGCACCUUAUAUAUUACAUUCAACUUCCAAAUACAAUCUAAGUUAUUACAUCAUAGGUAUUACAAGGUAAAUACAUUUUAUUCCUUUCAUUUUCUAUACCCCUAAGCUAUGUCGACGGGGUACUGCUAGCUCUGGUCUCUGGAGGUAGGGCGCUAUCUAUGGAGCUACGCCCUUGCCUCGCGCCGUCGCGCCGCUCACGUGCGAACCUGUAAAAUCUCAAAACAACGUGGGGUGAGAAGCAACUCCAUGGUUCCCAGUGGGUACGGCCACCCAAGGGAGGAGCUCAACCAACAGAUCCAAGGGAGGCAAAUACAAGUUAGUCCAAUAAACAGAUAGAUAUGUAUAUCAUAAACAUGCAACUAACUUUACCUUACUUUGCCUCACAACUGCAACGAUGCCAUGCUAUAUGCAACAGAAAUAUAUGCAACAUGAAUAUAUGCAAUAACUAGUAGAAUUAUUGAUUCUACAAUCAAUCUCGCUAAUCUUAGCUCAUGUCAUCCAACUCUAAGGUUUCUACUACCUUAGGUUAUCACAUUUACCACUAGCCCUCAAGGUUCUAUCUACCUUAUUCCAGCUAGCCACCCGACUCGGCCUCGAGUCAAUCAACAGCGGAUAAUCCGCGCUCUGCCCGGCUCGAGGUGAAGGAUCCUGUCGCAUGCACCUCAGCCUGCAAGCCAAGAACCACAUCGCCCAACGGUCCGCCCGAAGGUCCGUGCACCGUGGUCAGGGAUCCGCCAGUGAGAGAGGAACAUAGCCGCGUACACCCAUAGCCAAGACCCCCGAUAGGGAGAGGAACAUGCCGCAUACACCCUAGCGCUCUUUGUUCUUGCUUAGUCACAAUCCUCAAAGUUCUUCCGGUGGGAGAGGAACAUGCCACAUACACCCGCGGUCCAAGAACUAUUGAGUUCACAAGUCUCGGGAUUCCGGAAUCCACUUCACAAGUCAAGGGUCCAUAUCCAACCCUAUGUUGUCGACCUAUCUAGGUCCAAUGCACUUUCCACCCUAGGUCCGACUGACUCUAGGUCUAAUGCCUCAAUUUCACAACCUAGGUUUACCCUAACUCUAGAUUCAGUUCUCAACCUAUAUUCUUUAACACUAGGUCAGAUGCCACACUCCUAGAUCCCAACUCUAGGUUCAUACUCAACCUAUGUUCUUUAACACUAGGUUAGAUGCCACACACCUAGAUCUCGACUCUAGGUUCAUACUCAACCUAUGUUCUUUAACACUAGGUUAGAUGCUACUCGUUAUUUAUCCUAGGUUCAACAACACUAGGUUCAAUGUCAUCUAUGUUCGACCUAUAUUUAUUAACACUAGGUUAAUGCCACUCGAUCUACUUGAUAUCCUAUUGUCAUAUCGAGUACUAUAGACACCCGCAUUUCAUCUGGCAUACAUUCUAUGAUGUCAACAUGCAUACAUAAUCUCAUAAUGCCGAUCAUGUCUCCUAUGAUUUCUAUAUCAUUUCAUAUGCACUUACUUAGCAUUUGCAUCAUAUUAUUAACAUGCAUUAGCUACAUGAAUCAACCACAUGCUUUAUUCACAUUUAUAUGCAUCAUCUAUGUGCCUCAUUUACAUUCAUAUGCAUCAACAUAGAUUCUUAAUCAUCUUAGACAUAAAGGGCGACCUAGUCGCUUCGGUACACACAACCCACCUUAACUCGCGUUCCGAUUGCUUGUCGACACUUGCAAUCGGCCUCCCGCGGCACUCGGCACCCGUUUGGGCCCGAUCUCACAGUUGCUCUCCAAGAGCGCGUCGCUUGGCCGUUUCAAGUGCUAACGAUCUUCGCCUCGCCGUUACGAUGCUCGGGACCCAAUUUCAUGAUUUAUGGACAUCGCCUCGGCCUUCCAGGCGGAAACGAAGCUUCAAGCAUCCGUUUCUUCAAUAUCUUUGUAACGGCUCGUCGGAUUGCCGAACCGUCUUCGCCAACGUGUUUCGUUACCUAUCAAUUAGGUUUACAGAGGGUUAUUUGAGAUCAAACCCAUCUAUUUACAAAAAUCUCAUUUUUGAGCCCUAGUUUGCGACUACGGUAAAAACCACCAUUCGAACUCUAGAUUCAAGCAUUAAACGUCUAUUAAGCUUGCUAGAACACUAAUCAAACCAUUUCUAGAGCAUUAGGAUCAAAUCCUAGAGAUCUACCAUUGUAGGGUUUGGAGCUUACCUUGCUAAGCUUGCUCUAAUGGUGAGAGGAAGAAGAAGAUGAUGUUGGUGAUGAUGAUCCCUCCAACUUCUUAUUCUCCUCCUUUUCCUUCUCCUCCUUCCUCUUCUUCUCCUUCUCUUUCUUUUUCUUUUAGAGAGAGAGAGGGGUGGUGUUGGGGUUGAAACGGUGAGGGAAAGAGAGAGAGAGAGGUUCCAACCCUCUCUAUACACUUAACCCAUGCAACAAUUAAAUAAAAACCCCCCAACAAGUCUCUUUUUGCAACAGCCCGAACUGGGCAUUUUCGGGGUUCGGGGACCGGUCUCUGCAUGAGGGACCGGUCCCUGAGAGACCGGUCUCUCUGCCUGGGACCGGUCCCAGAGAGACCUCCAGCCCAGACUUAGCCAAUUUUCAGCUUCGUCCGUUUUCGCUCUAUUUUCGCUCGUUUUCGUCCGUUUGACCUCCGAUUCAUUUCAAAUCGAACCGAGACUCUCCAAACAUGUUUUCAAACAUGUUUUCAUCAUCUUUCCUUCCUCGCUAAUGCCGGAUUUAGCUCACGGCCCAACUUAGCCUUUCGGGUUCCGUUUUCGCGCCUAUGCACACCGAAAUGCCCGAUUGCUCCAGAACUUCACCGAACCUCACAAAACCAUCCAAAUGGCUUUCCAAAGCAACGUACACCAUAACUUCAUAAUUUUAGAAAUCCGGUACCUUACAAGGGACUUCUCUAGCUCUGUCAGCACAAGAAGGUAAGGUACUAGCUUGUGACUCCCUUACCUCGAUCAAUAGCAGCGACAGAGGUAGAAGGCUCUGCAAGAAAAGAUAGCAAUAAUGGGCAUGAGAACUACUAUCACAAGUAUUCCUCACCUAUACCUUUAUACCUACUCAUGAUUUAGUUCGCUCUUUAUUCCUAGCUCUGGCAUUUCUGUUUCUAGUUAUUACAUGACUUGUAGAGUAGAUGAUCAUAGUUACUCAGACAUUAUAGAUGGGAUUAGUCUCAGUGGAUCUAUUGCUAUCUUAGCUGGGAGUUUCUCAGCGUAGUGCCGACUAACGAUUGUCGAUUGUUGGACCGUAAGAUACUUGAGCAUUCAUGCAUUGUGACCACCAUGCAUCUGCUACACAUGUUACGUACACCGGCGGACUGGCCCCCGCUGUGGUAUUCUUUACCGGUAGAGCGGUCUAAUCGACCCGCGAGCCACUCCGCUAUGCCAUCGAGUAUAGGGUUAUAUGUCAAUCCUGCUAGGUGACUUACUAUGGCAUGAGCCUAAGGUCCUUGUGACCAAAAGUGGCAUGAUUGGGUACUAUUACACUGAAUCUUAUAUUGAUGCAUUUACUUGAGUAGCAAUUUAUAUUACCCUACUUUUAUUCCUAUUGUUAUAAUCACUUGUCAAUUCAUUCUAUACCUAUCUACUUGCUUUUAUUCUUUUUUCUCCUCUAGUUCAUCUCCAUUCUCCUUAUCGUUUUUUCCUCUCUUUUUUCUUUUGUUCUCUCUCCAUUAUCUUCCUCCUCAACUGCCCUGUGUCAAUGCCAUAUUCUGCUCUCUUACCUCACUCACACCUCCAUCGACGUCCACUCGGAUAUGGCACAGAUCACGAAGGUAAGACUAUAGCGGAGCGCAUGACUGUGGACGACAAAAUGUGUAGCCAUAGACAAUGACGGCGACGAGGGUGCCGCAAAAUUUGAGAAUGAUGAAGAGGGAAAGCAUGUCAGGGCGCGAGAACAGGGGCGACAGCUGCAACAAAGGGCAAGGGAUGGGUCACGAUAGUGAAAAAAAGAUGUAGAUAGUUUAAAAAAAAAAAGAAGUAAUAAAAAAUUUAUAUGUUUUUCUUCUUGUAGUAUACUGAAGCUUGCAAAUAGUUAAAGUUCAGUAUAAAAUGGCUUAUGAUGUAUUAGAGGGGUUUCGCAAGAAUUCAAGACGAGUUGGGGCUAAUUUGGCACGAAAAAUAAUGUGAAAUCAAAGUUUUGAAAGACUAAUCUGUAGUUUGACCAAAUCCCGAAUUAGUAUCGGUACUGAUUCCUUGAGUAUCAAUACUCAGUAUAAGUCUUUGUGAGACAACGUUCGGGUUUUGUGCACUCAGAUUAAGUAUCGAUACUGGGCAUCGUGUAUUAGUGCUCGAGGAGCAUCGGUACACAUUGAGUUGCUCUGACUAAUCGCACUCUUGGAUUUUGUGGAACAACGAGAGUGUACCGAUACUCACAUAGGGAGUACCAGUACUUCUAUUCGUGUACCGGUACCCGCCCGCAUGCAGACUGUGUGAGAGGGGAUUUGGUUGCCUCUUUUAAUAACCUUUUACUCUCUCCCCCUUAUUUCUUUCUCACCUCCCACUCUUUCUACAGAGAGAGAAGCUAUCCCCCUCCACUCCAACUUCUUCCUCUUCCUCUCCACCAUUAUAUCUCCCUUACGCUCUCAACUCCAUCUCGAUUGGAGAGAAGUCUGAGAGCAAUCGACUCUCCAUGAUGUGUGUAAUAAAAAAAAGAAACCAAACUAAUAAGUUAGUAAAAGUAAAAUACAUGAAUUGAGAUAAAUGUAUAGGCUAAUGAUAUAGUCAACUAUUAUUGCAUAUUGUAUAUAUGUUGAGGCAUUGUAUUCGUAAUUCAGUUUACUACAUUUCUAUUGUAGAAAUAGAUAUUGUUCAUUAUCAUCAUCUACUAAUGCCUAUUCUGGACCGACUAAGUAUAGAGCACCAUUUUUGGUAGCUUCCAUCCUCAUGCUACCUUCGUUGCCAAUAUCAUGAGCACCCAUUAGAUAAUUCGAGAAACCUACACUGAUAUCAUUAUGAAGCAUUCUCGUGUGUAAUAAUCUUGCAGUUGCAGGGGCAACGACGCACGGCGACGACGGCAGCAACCAAGAGAAGCACGACAAGAAGUCGAGGCAGAUAGAGAGAGAGCGAUGUGAGAGAGAGAAAAAGAGCGAUGUAGUGUGAGAGGGUCUGUGGGAAAGAGAAGUCUGGUAGUAUUUUUUUGAGAAAAAGGUAGCACGCUACCCGCUUCAUUCAUUGGAAAAAUGAACUAGGCUACAAGGGUAGGGCAACUAGGGCCCCGAAAAAAAAAAAAAAAAAAAAAAAAAAAAAAAAAAAAAAAGGUUCAAGUAGGUAGAACCGAAUCCCACUCCUUCAGUAACUGCCGGAGAGUGAUGACAACCCUCUCAGGGUUCGAUUGGAUUUCCCUAAAGAUCAUGUCGUUUCUGGCCUUUCAAAUGCACCACCAGCAACCGACUAAAUCAGUAAGGCAGUCCCUUUUCUUUCUUCGGCUCUUCCUAAUCCUCCACAUGUCCCAAGGACUGUUAACCUCAUCCUCCAUGUCUAGAGUCUAAACUCCAUCUACACCUGACACUAAGAUGAACUUGCUAAAAACACACCUGGUGAACAGCUGGUCUACUGUUUCCUCAGCCGACCCGCAUAGUACGCAAGUUGAGUCUUGAACCCAACCUCUUUUAGCUAAUCUAUCGGUCGUAGGGAUUCUCUUAUUAAGGACAAGCCAGCAUUACACUUUAACCUUAAGAGGGAUUUUGACUCUCCACAAAAGAGAUGCUCGCACAUCCCUCGUACCCCCGUCCGACAGCGACACAUAGGUCGAUUUUACAGAGUAAGAACCAUCGUUGCUCCAUCGCCAUUGUAUAGUAUCUGGUCUAUUCUUCGUGGAAUAGUGUGAAAUCCUAUCUUUGAGCUCCGCGAGGCUGGUUCUCGUCCCUUGCACUUGGUUGUAAACGACUCCCAAAAUCCUACUCCAUUCCCAACUACCCCUCGUAAAGCAGUCACUAACUUUUAGGUUCUUUCCGUCAGACGAGAGGAAGGCCUCAGGGAAUAAAAGGUUUAGCAUGUUAUCCCCACACCACCGAUCUAACCAAACGUCGAUGUUGCACCCGUUACCAAGCUUGUAGGCCUUCCCCCAAGAGAAGAUAGUGCUAUGGCAGAGAACUCCCCUCCACCAGCUUGAGUAGGGUCUAAAUGAUUUGCCUUCUCUCAAAGGUAUUCUUCAACGAUAAUAUAAGUCUCUGAUUAGCUUGUUCCACUGUAACUGAUUACCUGUGUAGAAUUUCCACCACCAUUUAGUGAGUAGCGCUUAGUUCAUGAUCGCUACAUCCAAGAUCCCUAAAUCGCCUUCCUCCUUGCUCCGGCAUACAUUCUUCCAAGCCAUCAAGCAGCCCUUUCCUGCAGAGUUUCACCCACCGUUCCAGAAGAA
RNAcentral lists this long non-coding RNA (68894 nucleotides) under Ananas comosus (pineapple). RNAcentral's name for it is "long non-coding RNA (ACOM_LNC017956)". Lineage: Eukaryota; Viridiplantae; Streptophyta; Magnoliopsida; Poales; Bromeliaceae. The record is from RNAcentral.